This 56736-nucleotide long non-coding RNA is filed under the name Cucumis sativus (cucumber). RNAcentral's name for it is "long non-coding RNA (CSAT_LNC000239)". The record is from RNAcentral. Lineage: Eukaryota; Viridiplantae; Streptophyta; Magnoliopsida; Cucurbitales; Cucurbitaceae.
CGUCGGCGAGGCUGUUCGUGACUGAGGCGUGCGACUUGCCUCGCGGACGGAGAUAGAGACGGCGGAGACGGUUGCAGAACCGUGGCUUCGACAGAGACAGAACCGGCUGAGACGGCUGGGCAGCGGCGGAAGAGCAACGGCGCCGCAGAUCUGGACUGGCAACGGCGCGAUCUUGCUUCGCGGCUGGGCUGCGGACGGAAGAAGAAAGUGGAAGGAAAGGACUGGCGGCUGGCUGCGACUGGCUGCGAUUGGCUGCGGCGGGACGGGAAGAAGAAGAUAGAGGUGGUGGUUGCGGCGGAAAGAAAAACGGAAGGGAAGGGAGGCGACGGUUUGCGAACGGGAGAGAAGGGGGAAGGGAUCGACGCGCACGCAGAAGAAGAAGGGAGAAAAGAAAAGAAAAAGAAAAAGAAGAAAAGUAAAAUAAUAAAGAAAUUUUGUAAUAUUAAAAUAAUAUAUAAAUAAAAUAAAAUAUAUAUAUAUAUAUAUAUAUAUAUAUAUAUAUAUAUAUAUAUAUAUAUAUAUAUAUAUUUACCUUUUCUUUGGGCAUUACAAUCUUCCCUCCUUAAGAAACUUUCGUCCUCGAAAGUUCUAAUCCUGAAAUAACUCUGAAUAACGAGUCCUCAUCUCUUCUUCUCGCUCCCAUGUCGCCUCUUCAAUUCGAUGUUUCUGCCACAAAACCUUUACUAAUGGAAUGCUUCUAUUACGAAGCAUCUUUACCUCUCUAGCCAGAAUCUCCACAGGUUGUUCUACAUAGCUCAAAUGCUCAUCAAUCUCCAAGGGUUCAUAGUCCACUACAUGAGAUGUAUCGGCCACAUACUUCCUCAACAUCGAAACAUGGAAAACAUUAUGAACUGCAGAGAGAGAUGGUGGUAAUGCCAAGCGAUACGCCACAACACCAACCCUCUCUAAGAUCUCAAAUGGUCCAACAAAACGAGGACUUAACUUUCCUUUCUUCUCAAAACGCAUAACACCCUUCAUAGGUGCUACCUUCAAGAAUACCUUUUCUCCCACAUCGAACUUAAGGUCUUUUCGCCGUACAUCCGCAUAACUCUUCUGUCUACCCUGCGCUGUUUGCAUACGUGCUCUAAUCUUUUGAAUAGCCUCAUUAGUAGACCGAACUAAUUCAGGUCCCACCAAUCUAUGUUCACCAACCUCACUCCAACAAACAGGGGUUCUACAACAUUAGCCAUACAAAGCCUCAAAUGGUGCCAUACCGAUGGUAGCCUAGAAACUAUUGUUAUAAGCAAACUCCAUCAAAUGUAGAUGAGAGUCCCAACUACCUGGAAACUCUAUAACACAAGCUCGUAGCAUAUCCUCUAAAACUUGGUUCAAACGUUCAGUUUGACCAUCAGUCUGUGGAUGAAAGGCUGUACUGAAAUCCAAUCUCGUACCCAUAGCAGUCUGAAGUCCCUUCCAAAACUUGGAAGUAAACCGUGCAUCCCUAUCAGAAACAAUCGAUACAGGUACUCCAUGCAGUCUCACAAUCUCAGUUAAAUACAACUCUGCCCACUUACUAGCAGUAUAAGUGGAUUUUCCUGGUACAAAAUGUGCCGAUUUCGUAAGCCUGUCUAUGACAACCAGAAUCACUGUGAAACCCUUCAGGGUCUUAGGCAGCCCUGAAAUAAAAUCCAUCGACACAUUCUCCCACUUCCACUCUGGCACACUUAAAGGUUGUAACAAACCUGCUGGUUUCUGUCUAGGUGCCUUAACUUGCUGACAUACUAGACACUUACUAACAAAUUCCGCCACUUCCCUUUUCAUAUUCCGCCACCAAUAAAAUCGUUUUAGAUCCUGAUACAUUUUCGUGCUACCAGGAUGCAUGGAAAAUGGGGAAUUAUGGGCUUCAUCUAGUAAGUCAAUCUUAACUGUACUGUUCGCUGGCACACAUAAACGUCUCUCAAACAUCAACCCACCAUCAGAGGAUAUGGAGAACUCAUCAGUCUGCCCUGUUUCAACAAGGCGACGUCUCUCCAUCAAAUAAGGAUCACUACUCUUAGCAUCAACAAUCUUCUGCCUCAGAGUCGGUUACACCGUUAAUUGAGCUAGCUGUGAGGUGACUCUCCCCACAGACACAGCAAUCUCAGCUCUCUCCAAGUCUCGAUGUAACUGUACCUGUCUAGUAAUGAGUGCUGUCGAAUGUGAUACUUUUCUACUAAGAGCAUCAGCCACCACAUUCGCCUUACCAGGAUGGUACAAUAUCUCACAGUCAUAAUCUUUUACCAACUCGAGCCACCUUCGCUGUCUCAUAUUCAACUCCUUCUGAGUGAAGAAGUACUUUAGGCUCUUAUGGUCAGUAAAGAUUUGUAUCUUUUCACCGUACAAGUAAUGUCUCCAUAUCUUCAAUGCAAAAACCACUGCUGCCAACUCCAAAUCAUGUGUGGGGUAGUUCUGCUCGUGACUCUUCAACUGACGAGAGGCAUAAGCAACCACCUUACCUUUCUGCAUCAAAACACAACCCAGUCCUUUCUUGGAAGCAUCACUGUAAAUCACAAAACUUCCAGAUCCAUCUGGUACAGUAAGGACCGGUGCAGUAACUAACCUUUGCUUUAAGUUCUGAAAACUAUCCUCACAAGCUGGACUCCAAACAAACGGAGUUCCCUUCCUUGUCAACUGAGUCAAGGGAGUAGCCAAACGUGAAAAAUCCUCCACAAACCUCCGGUAGUACCCUGCUAAACCCAGAAAACUACGAACCUCACUAACUGUAGAGGGUCGAGACCAACUGGUAACCGCUUCUAUCUUUGCAGGGUCUACUGAAACUCCCUCACUGGAAACCACAUGACCAAGAAAAGCCACCUGCUUCAACCAAAAUUCGCACUUAGAGAACUUAGCAUACAGUUUAUUGACUCGAAGAGUCUCUAACACCUUAUGUAAGUGUUCCUCAUGUUCGGCUUCAGUCUUGGAAUAAACCAAAAUAUCAUCAAUGAAGACUAUCACAAAAGUGUCCAAGAAAUCCUUAAACACCCUGUUCAUCAAAUCCAUAAAUACAGCAGGUGCAUUAGUCAAACCAAAAGACAUUACUAUGAAUUCAUAAUGUCCAUACCUCGAACGAAAAGUCUUAGGAAUAUCACGGUCUCUAAUCCUCAACUGGUGAUAACCUGACCGUAAGUCAAUCUUAGAGAACACCGUGGCUCCCUGUAACUGAUCGAACAAAUCAUCGAUUCUGGGUAAAGGAUAUCUGUUCUUGACUGUUACUUUAUUCAACUCUCUAUAGUCAAUGCAAAGACGCAUCGACCCAUCCUUCUUCUUCACAAACAAUACUGGUGCACCCCAAGGUGACACACUAGGUCGAAUAAAGCCUUUGUCAAGCAAUUCCUGUAACUGUACCUUCAGUUCUUUCAACUCAGCAGGAGCCAUCCUAUAAGGGGCUCUAGAAAUAGGAGUAGUGUUUGGCUCCAACUCAAUGGCAAAAUCAACCUCUCUAUGUGGCGGUAGUCCUGGAAGAUCUUUUGGAAAUACAUCUGGGUAGUCUCUUACCACAGGUUCUGAAGUUAAAGAAGUCUCACCUUCCCUAGUAUCCACCACACUUGCCAAAAUACUCCAAGUACCCUGGUUGAGUAGUUUACUAGCUUUCAUAGCUGAGAUUACUUUAGGCAGUACUACUGUUCCUACCCCCUUGAAUUUAAAGCUAGAUGCAGUAGGGGGACUGAACACAACUUCCUUACGAGAACAAUCAAUACUAGCAUGAUUAGUAGCUAGCCAAUCCAUACCUAAAAUUACAUCAAAGUCACGCAUAUCUAAUACCAACAAGGUUACGUCCAGCACACGACCAGCUAUCUCAAUUUCACAUGCUUUAAUCUUUUCCUUAGACAACAUAAUUUCUCCAGACGGUGUAGACACUGACAAAACAUAGUCUAAGGGUUCCACCUCUAAGCAUGCAUGCGUCACAAAAAGCGAUGAAAUAAAUGAAUGAGAAGAUCCCGAGUCAAACAAGGUCAAGGCAAAAUGCCCUAACACUGGUAAUGUACCUGUCACUACUGUGCCGGCCUUCUCUGCCUCUGAUCUAUUAGUGGCAAAGAUUGUACCCCGCUGUGGAGGUCUCUCUCCCUGACUGCUCGAUCCAGCCCCAGUAGAUCUCAAGGGACACCUAUCAGCCAUGUGUCCCUCUUGCUUGCACUUAUAACAGACUCUCGUUCCCAUCAAACAACGACCCAGGUGGCGUUUCCCACACGUAUUACAUACUGGCCUCUCUCGAGUAGUGUCUCCUGCACCGCCAGAACUCUGCUGGAAACUGCGAAAAGGAUCGCCUGGUCUCAAGUUCCUCUGAGGAACUCCUACAGUUCUCUGCUCUACUUUUCUCUUUUGACCCGACGACGAUCCCUUAUCAAAGCUCCUUGGCUGUCUUUCAUCCUUCCCAAUACUCAUAUCCACUGCCAGACGCAGUGCUUCAGCUUGGGUAGUGGGCUUUAGUGCUCGCACAAAGCCCCUAAUUUCAUCUCUCAAUCCCUUGACGAACCUAUCAGCUCUAGCCUGCUCAUUACUAACAAGCUCAGGGGCAAAACGUGACAGCAUAUCAAACUCCUGGUCGUACUCCUCGACUGUCAUAUAUCCUUGCUUCAACUCCAAGAAUUCCUGGCUUUUGGCGUCUCUAAGGUUAGCCGAGAAAAACUUGGUAUAGAAGCAGUCCUUAAACUGAUCCCAGGUAAUCUGCCUCACAUCUCCACCUAGCAUGCGCAUUGUAGUCCUCCACCAGAUAAUGCCUCUGUCCCUCAGUAGAAAAGCAGCACACUGAACUCUGUGCUCCUCGGGACAUCUCAUGUAAUUAAAUAUGGUUUCCACAGAGGACAACCACAUUUCAGCUUUAGUAGGAUCCUCCAGUGACCCAUCAAACGUCUGAGGGUCAUACUUCCGAAAGUCCCUCAAAUGUUUCGCCUCAGCAGAAAGUUGGUUAGGUAAUUCUUGUGCAGGAGGGGCUGCUGGUGCAGGGGGAACUACAGGUGCAGGUGGAACUGCAGGUGCCUGCUGGUUUUGAGCUAUAGCUGUCAUAAGUUCUGUAAACCUCUGCUCCAUGUGAGCAGACAGUGCAUCAAACUCAACGUGAGUCACGGGUGCAGCAGGAAUUCGCUGUUCAGCUUGACCCUCAGUAGGCUGAUUACGACCUGCUCCUCUACCUCGGCCUCCUGCUCUCCUCUACCUCGGCCUCUACGACCUCCUCUACGUACACCUUCCCUUGGCGGCAUAAUUCCUAUUAUCCACCAACAACACUCUUUAACAAAAUCUUAAUCAUAAGCAUAAGCAAGUCUUUAUCGUCAUGCAAUCUAGUUUAAUUUAGGCAAGGUCAUGCAAAUAAACCAUACAUAUAAGCAUCAAGCAUACCUGACGAGAGACGAAGGGUCGCGUUAGCCAUAAGAACACAAAAACAUAGACUUACAUCGUAAGUCAGUCUACAUAACCUAAAACUUAGGCUCUGAUACCAACUGUAACGACCCAACUUUUCUAAGUAAGUCGAGAUCGAUAAUUUUUAACAAAUAAAGACUUUGAUUAAUAUAAAACAAAACGUAAACAAUUAAAAAAAAAAAAUCAUCUUCAAGUCAGGCCUGAUUUUUAAACAUUCAAGAAAACAUAAAAUAGUACUAUUUACAACAAACGUUUGUAAACUAAAUUUCAAUUCAUUUUAAACCUCACAAGAACCCAUAAGCGGAAGCAAAAACACGUUUCCUAUGGCAUCAUGUUUCCUUCCUGCCCCUCGCCUGUUUGCCGCCUUUAUUACCUUUGCCUGAAAAUUAAACAUAACAAGGGUGAGUAUUUAAAUACUCAGUAAGAGACCCUCUACUGGUCUCGUCAGGGGAAAAUAAAUUGUUAAAGUUCUAUUGGGACACCCUGUACAGUCGCAGUCUUGUGAUCCCGUAGGAUACACAUCUCAGUCUAACGCCCCGAGGGACGUACAUAUCAGUCUAACGCCCCGAGGGACGUACAUAUCAGUCUAGUGUUCUGCAGAAACACAUAUCAGUCAAAUGCUCCCGAAGGUGCACAAUAAAUUGGUGAUCCCGUGGGACACCUACAAGGUAAACAUCCCAAUACAAUCUAACAAUUUAUCCCCUCAUUCCAUUCAACCCAUCUUUCAGUUACUUCAAGUCACAAAGUUCUUUCUUUCAACAUCCUAACAGUCAACUUAUUUUACUACAGUCAUAUGUCUGUCAAUAAUAUGCUAAUACAUCAGUCAAUCCACUAUACAGUCAAUGCACCCCUCAGUUCACCAGCACACAGUCAUACUUUAGCGUAAUCAUACACCCAAUCUAAACGAGAAUCUCAUACAAACACAAUCUACAAUCUCCGUCCUGUCCACAUACACACAUUUAUAUAUAGAUUCCAUGACAAUCACGACAUACAUUCGACGUCAAGUCUACUUCAAUUCAUAUACAUUCAUAUAUAUUUUCAGUCAACCCCAGUAUACAUUCAACACACAUACAGUUCACAAUCACAGUUCACAAUCACAAUUGAGUCCAGUAGAAAAUCCCUUACCUGGAUCUUUAUGUAAAAUUCCUUAGUCGAACUAACUUCAACAAACAAACCCCAAGAGUAAAGAAUCGAACUCCAACAAAGCUUAAGGCGUAACUCAAGGACACUAACUCCAAAUCACCGAUGUCACCUUCAAGAACAAAGAUCAAUUCAACCAAUUAAACAACAUCACAUCUUAAUGUAUUUACAAAUGUAAGACCUUAUUACCGAACAAUCUCAUCCUUACCAAUAUCUUGUAACAAGACUUUGACAAUCGACGUUAAAUAGAAGUUGCCGCAGGAUCUACACAAAAGACAUCGUGCAAAACACUUUUGCACGCGAACUGGUCCGCGAUUCGUAAAUGGGACAGCGGGUAUCGACGAAGGCAGAACGGUUCGGACGUUCAACAGCAGUUACGCGCGGACGGGAGUAGCUCGGCAACGUAGCCGAAUUCGUGCGAUGCGGCGUGACCUGCGUCGGCGAGGCUGUUCGUGACUGAGGCGUGUGACUUGCCUCGCGGACGGAGAUAGAGACGGCGGAGACGGUUGCAGAACCGUGGCUUCGACAGAGACAGAACCGGCUGAGACGGCUGGGCAGCGGCGGAAGAGCAACGGCGCCGCAGAUCUGGACUGGCAAUGGCGCGAUCUUGCUUCGCGACGGGGCUGCGGACGGAAGAAGAAAAUGGAAGGAAAGGACCGGCGGCUGGCUGCGGUUGGCUGCGGCGGGACGGGAAGAAGAAGAUAGAGGUGGUGCUUGCGGCGGAAAGAAAAACGGAAAGAAAGGGAGGCGACGGUUUGCGAACGGGAGAGAAGGGGGAAGGGAUCGGCGCGCACGCAGAAGAAGAAGGGAGAAAAGAAAAGAAAAAGAAAAAGAAGAAAAGAAAAAUAAUAAAGAAUUUUUUUAAUAUUAAAAUAAUAUAUAUAAAAAUAAAUAAAUAUAUAUAUAUAUAUAAUAUAUAUAUAUAUAUAUAUAUAUUUACCUUUUCUUUGGGCAUUACAGGUUCGGUUUCAAUGAAGAUUUUUUUUAUCAUUUUGCGGUUCGAUUCGGUUUUAGCUUCAAACCGAACCGCGAACACCACUAAUAUGUAAUGUUGAGAUCAACUGAAUAUGUUUGUAAUGUAGGGACUUUGAUGAAAGAAUUGAAAAUUCAGGAAAUUGUAUGAAAAAAAAUGGUUGAAUGUUAAAUUGACUUAUGAAUAGUGUAUAUGAAACAAUACAUUAUAUAUUUUAUGAAUGAAAUGUUAUGCAAUCAAUUUGUUAAAUUGGUUUAUUUAUUUUAUUUCAAAUAUUUAUUUUAUAUGUAAUAAAUAAUAAGUUAUGUUUGAAACAGCAGUAUAAGGAUAUAUCAUAAUAUAUAUUGUUCAUUUAAGGUUAGUAAGAAUUUUAUAUUUUGUAUUUGAAAUAUACUAUGAUAUAUUGAGUACAUCAAAGAUGACAUCAUUUAUGUACUAUUGAAAAUAUGAAGUAGUAUAUAUAUGUAACAAAUCACAUAAGAUAUAUGUAUCAUGUACUAGUAUAUACGUCAUUAUUUAUAUAUACACACCUAAUGAAAAAAAGUAGAGUGUGUGGGACCCACGUAUAUAAAUAAUGAGAAAAUAAAAAAUGUUGGCCCAAUGUAAUAUAUAUAUAUAAGUAAAAAAUAAACUAUGUAGGGUCCACUGCAUGAAAAUUGUGUAGGGGUACAAAACUUCACCUCAACUCACCUAUUUUUGUCAAUAGUUUUGCAUUCACCUACUUUUGACAUAUGUUUCAAAAUUUACAUUAUUUUUUAAAAAAAGUUCUAUACAUAAUAAAUAAUAACUCGUGAUUGAAACAAGAGUGGUUAUGUAUGAAGGAUAGUAUAUUAAAUAUAAUAAAUUGAAAAACUUUGAUUGGUACCGUAGAUGAAAAUUUAUGAAAAAAUAUAGAAAUAAAAUAACUAAAUUUAAAACUGAAAUAUGAAUAUUUCAAAUAAAAGUAUAAAUCAACAUACUAAAAGUUUAAUAAUAAGAAAGAAAAAUUAGUUCAAUAAGGAAAGCUUGCAUCUCUUUCGUUUAUGACAACCACAUUUAAAACUUCAUUUUAGAAUGAAUUCUAAUAUUUUUUUGUUGACCAACUGAACGUUUUACAUUCAAUGGGAUGAUGUCAACUUCAAUUACUGUAUUAUUGAAUAUAUGCAUUAGUAUGUAUGUAACAAAUCAAAUAAAAUACUAAUCGAAUAUAGAAAAAUAUAAAGAAAAUGACACAAAACGUGAAGGAAAAAAACUGAACUAUAUAUGUGUCACAAAAUACGUGUUAUUAUAUUUAUAUAAAUGUAUAUAUUGAUAACAUCACCUGUCUAUGUAGUGAUAUAUAUUGAAAUUCAACUAUAAAUUAUGUAGAACUAUAUGUCACUAAAUAUUUAUGUUGUAAAUAAGGUGUAUCUAUAUAUUAAAUCACAUCAUAAACAUAUUAUAAUUUACGAGUAUAUUAUAGUAUAUAUUGUUCAUUUAAAAGAUAUAUGACAAAUAGAAGGUAUAUAAUUAUACGAAGUGAGAAUAUGUAUGUAUGAUAUUCUCACUACAUAUUAUAUAUACACUAAGAAUGUGUAUUUUACUGUUUUAGUAGUAUUUACUAUAUAAAUAUAUAUUUUAAAUAUUAAUUAUUAAUGAAUAUAUAGUUUACUACAUGUUGUUACAACAUACUUAAGAUAUAAAUGUUUAUAUGACUAACAACAUAAUAUUACUAUAAGAUAAACAAAAAAAUAAAGAACAGAUUGAAUUGAAAAAUAUUUUCGAUUAUUGUAUGUCACUAUAUAUGUCUGAUUGUAUAUAUCUCUAAGAAAUAUUACAUAAUGAGGUAGUGUAACGACCCAACUUUUCUAAGUAAGUCGAGAUCGUUAAUUUUUAACAAAUAAAGACUUUGAUUAAUAUAAAACAAAACGUAAACAAUUAAAAAAAAAACAUCUUCAAGUCAGGCCUGAUUUUUAAACAUUCAAGAAAACAUAAAAUAAUACUAUUUACAACAAACGUUUGUAAACUAAAUUUCAAUACAUUUUAAACCUCACAAGAACCCAUAAGCGGAAGCAAAAACACGUUUCCUAUGGCAUCAUGUUUCCUUCCUGCCCCUCGCCUGUUUGCCGCCUUUAUUACCUUUGCCUGAAAAUUAAACAUAACAAGGGUGAGUAUUUAAAUACUCAGUAAGAGACCCUCUACUGGUCUCGUCAGGGGAAAAUAAAUUGUUAAAGUUCUAUUGGGACACCCUGUACAGUCGCAGUCUUGUGAUCCCGUAGGAUACACAUCUCAGUCUAACGCCCCGAGGGACGUACAUAUCAGUCUAACGCCCCGAGGGACGUACAUAUCAGUCUAACGCCCCGAGGGACGUACAUAUCAGUCUAGUGUUCUGCAGAAACACAUAUCAGUCUAAUGCUCCCGAAGGUGCACAAUAAAUUGGUGAUCCCGUGGGACACCUACAAGGUAAACAUCCCAAUACAAUCUAACAAUUUUCCCCUCAUUCCAUUCAACCCAUCUUUCAGUUACUUCAAGUCACAAAGUUCUUUCUUUCAACAUCCUAACAGUCAACUUAUUUUAAUACAUCAGUCAAUCCACUAUACAGUCAAUGCACCCCUCAGUUCACCAGCACACAGUCAUACUUUAGCGUAAUCAUACACCCAAUCUAAACGAGAAUCUCAUACAAACACAAUCUACAAUCUCCGUCCUGUCCACAUACACACAUUUAUAUAUAGAUUCCAUGACAAUCACGACAUACAUUCGACGUCAAGUCUACUUCAAUUCAUAUACAUUCAUAUAUAUUUUCAGUCAACCCACAAUAUACAUUCAACACACAUACAGUUCACAAUCACAGUUCACAAUCACAAUUGAGUCCAGUAGAAAAUCCCUUACCUGGAUCUUUAUGUAAAAUUCCUUAGUCGAACUAACUUCAACAAACAAACCCAAAGAGUAAAGAAUCGAACUCCAACAAAGCUUAAGGCGUAACUCAAGGACACUAACUCGAAAUCACUGAUGUCGCCUUCAAGAACAAAGAUCAAUUCAACCAAUUAAACAACAUCACAUCUUAAUGUAUUUACAAAUGUAAGACCUUUUUACCAAACAAUAUCAUCCUUACCAAUAUCUUGUAACAAGACUUUGACCAUCGACGUUAAAUAGAAGUUGCCGCAGGAUCUACACAAAAGACAUCGUGCAAAACACUUCUGCACGCGAACCGGUCCGCAAUUCGUAAAUGGGACAGCGGGUAUCGACGAAGGCAGAACGAUUCGGACGUUCAACAUCAGUUACGCGCGGACGGGAGUAGCCCGGCAACGUAGCCGAACUCGUGCGAUGCGGCGUGACCUGCGUCGGCGAGGCUGUUCGUGACUGAGGCGUGCGACUUGCCUCGCGGAUGGAGAUAGAGACGGCGGCUGGGUUCGGCUUCGACGGAGACAGAACCGACGAUGGAGAUGGCAGAUCGGCACGCGGGCUGCAGCUGGGCUGCGGUGGGAAGAGGAACGGAGAUGGCCGGCGGCGGUUGCUGCGCGAACGGAGAGAAGGGGAAGGUGGGUCGCACGGCGCACGGGAGGAGAAGAGAAAUAGGGAAAAGAAAAGAAAAAGGAAAAAGAAAAGAAAAGGAAAAAGAAAAACAAAAUAUAUAUAUUUCUUUUUCUUUUCUUUUUAUUUAAAUUAAAUACAAAAAAAUAUAUAUAUAAAUACCUUUGGGGCAUUACACGUAGUAUAUAUGUAACAAAUCACAUAAUAUAUAUGUAUUAUGGAGUAGUAUAAAUGUAAUUGUUGAGCAAGAAAUUUUAACCAAUGAAAUUACACCAAGUUGUGAUGAUUAUAAUUUGAUAGGAAUCGGGUAGUCAAGUUUUCCAACCCAAUUCAAGCCCCUGAUAAAAAAUCAGGCCAAACAAAGGGGCCUAAGCCCAUUAAGAAAAUGGGCCCAAGCCCAAGUCCAAGCUCAACAACUCAACAAGCAAAUGGGUCCAAGCCCACAUAAAGUCCACAAAUUUUCUCUAUAAGUAGAGACCUUUGUCAUUCAUUCGAGAGAUCUUUUGUUGAAGGAAGAAAUGAAGCUCUGAAGUACUGAAGCUUUGAAGAAUUGAAGAUUCAAACUUCUAUAGAGCUCUCAAGACGUGCAAGUUCUUAUCAACUUCGAGAUCAUCAUCUUCUGAAAUAUUGAAGACUUGGAAGAUCAAAAUUUCCUUGAAUUCCAGAAGACUGAAGCUGAAAUAGACCGAACCAUUUAAAUUCGGUUUGGACUAUUUGAGACAGCAACAAACUAUGUUUUUUGUUCUGUACAUAAAUGGUGUGGUUUGAUUCGGUUUUAACAAGCGGUUCAAUUUAUACCGUUUAGACUUGAUCUUAUAUAAUGUGAAAUUAUUUUUUUUCUUUGAAUUUUUAUCUAAGUGUACUCAAAUUGUAUACCAUGUUACAAAAUUAAUUGCAAUAAAUUUUUUAAAAUUUUCAAAAAUAUCAUAAAUUGACUAAUAUUUUAUACAAAUAUAGAGUAAAAAUGACCAAUUUAAUCUUUUUAUUAUUAAUAAUAUAUUAAAAAUAAAAAGAAAAGUGAACCACGUUUAAGAUUUUCAUUUAUUAAAUAUUCUAUGAAAAUAUGGAUUAAAUUCUAUUAAAGUAAUAUUAAUAAUAAAAAUUGUCCUUAGUUUGCUUUUUAUGAUUUUAUUAAAAAAUUGUCCUUUUUUUAUUUUGCAUUCUUUUUCAUAUAUUUUAUAUAAUUAUAGUAUAUAUCGAAUAAUAUAAUGUAUAUUUUAUUAGUGAAAUGUUCUUAUAUCAAUUUAUUUAUUUAUUUUAUUUAAAUAUUCAUAUCUUACGUAGUAAAUAAUACAUUAUGUUUGAAAUAAUAUUAAUUAUAUAUGAAAGUUGUUUAUGUUUACAAGAACAUGAAUGAGAAAUAAUUAUGAUGAGUAUAUGUAAUAUAUGUCAUUAAAAUAUUUGUUAUUCUCUAGUAUAUGUAAUAGGGGUGUUCAAAAUGAAGUUGAAAACUGAAUCGAAUCACUAAUCGAACCGAAAUCGAAUGCAUAUGGUUCGGUUCGAUUCGAUUUCUAUUUCAAAAAAACCACAUAAAAUUCGGUUCGGUUCAGUUUAAGAUGUUAAGAACCGAUUCUCAAACCGAACUGAAUUGCUUUAUUUUAAAAACUAAAUAUAUAUAUAUAUAUAUAUAUAUAUAUAUAUAAUAUAUAUAUAUAUAUAAUAUAUAUAUGUUAAUAAUAAGACUUUUUUAGACUUCAAAGCGGGUAUAGAGUCAAAAAUAAAUGAGAGGAACGAAAAGGAGAAGAAUGACAUAAUCAAAACGUAAAUGACAAGUUGUCUUGACGAAAUUUGUAUGACUGUAGGACUUUUAUUCAUCUUAGGUGGAUUUUAAAACUUUUAUGUGUUAUUGGACUUUCAAAUUUCAAUGUUUGAAACAUCUAUGUGUGUAAUUUUGAAAUUUCUAUGUUUAUAACUUUGUAUAAGCCGUUCGGUUUUGAUUUGAUUUUAUUUAUGUAUAUGUGGUUCGGUUUUCAUUCGGUUUGGCAUAGAUGAGCGGUUCGGUUCAGUAACGACCAAACUUUUCUAAGUAAGUCGAGAUCGUUAAUUUUUAACAAAUAAAGACUUUGAUUAAUAUAAAACAAAACGUAAACAAUUAAAAAAAAAAAAAACAUCUUCAAGUCAGGCCUGAUUUUUAAACAUUCAAGAAAACAUAAAAUAGUACUAUUUACAACAAACGUUUGUAAACUAAAUUUCAAUUCAUUUUAAACCUCACAAGAACCCAUAAGCGGAAGCAAAAAAACACGUUUCCUAUGGCAUCACGCUUCCUUCCUCCCUCUCGCCUGUUUGUCGCCUUUAUUACCUUUGCCUGAAAAUUAAACAUAAGAAGGGUGAGUAUUUUAAAUACUCAGUAAGAGACCCUCUACUGGUCUCGUCAGGGAAAAAUAAAUUGUUAAAGUUCUAUUGGGACACCCUGUACAGUCGCAGUCUUGUGAUCCCGUAGGAUACACAUCUCAGUCUAACGCCCCGAGGGACGUACAUAUCAGUCUAGUGUUCUGCAGAAACACAUAUCACUCAAAUGCUCCCGAAGGUGCACAAUAAAUUGGUGAUCCCGUGGGACACCUACAAGGUAAACAUCCCAAUACAAUCUAACAAUUUAUCCCCUCAUUCCAUUCAACCCAUCUUUCAGUUACUUCAAGUCACAAAGUUCUUUCUUUCAACAUCCUAACAGUCAACUUAUUUUACUACAGUCAUAUGUCUGUCAAUAAUAUGCUAAUACAUCAGUCAAUCCACUAUACAGUCAAUGCACCCCUCAGUUCACCAGCACACAGUCAUACUUUAGUGUAAUCAUACACCCAAUCUAAACGAGAAUCUCAUACAAACACAAUCUACAAUCUCCGUCCUGUCCACAUACACACAUUUAUAUAUAGAUUCCAUGACAAUCACGACAUACAUUCGACGUCAAGUCUACUUCAAUUCAUAUACAUUCAUAUAUAUUUUCAGUCAAACCCAGUAUACAUUCAACACACAUACAGUUCACAAUCACAAUUGAGUCCAGUAGAAAAUCCCUUACCUGGAUCUUUAUGUAAAAUUCCUUAGUCGAACUAACUUCAACAAACAAACCCCAAGAGUAAAGAAUCGAACUCCAACAAAGCUUAAGGAGUAACUCAAGGACACUAACUCGAAAUCACUGAUGUCGCCUUCAAGAACAAAGAUCAAUUCAACCAAUUAAACAACAUCACAUCUUAAUGUAUUUAUAAAUGUAAGACCUUAUUACCCAACAAUCUCAUCCUUACCAAUAACUUAUAACAAGACUUUGACAAUCGACGUUAAAAUAGAAGUUGCCGCAGGAUCUACACAAAAGACAUCGUGCAAAACACUUCUACACGCGAACCAGUCCGCGAUUCGUAAAUGGGACAGCGGGUAUCGACGAAGGCAGAACGGUUCGGACGUUCAACAGCAGUUACGCGCGGACGGGAGUAGCCCGGCAACGUAGCCGAACUCGUGCGAUGCGGCGUGACCUGCAUCGGCGAGGCUGUUCGUGACUGAGGCGUGCGACUUGCCUCGCGAACGGAGAUAGAGACGGCGGCUGGGUUCGGCUUCGACGGAGACAGAACCGGUGAUGGAGACGGCAGAUCAGCGCGCGGGUUGCGGCGGGAAAAAAACGAAAGGGAAAGGAUCGGUGGGAGUCGCGGCGCACGGCGGAAGAAGGAAAUAAGGGCGGCGGUUGCUGGGCUGCGACGCAGAUCUGGACUGGGCACGAACGGAAGGAGAAGAGGACGGUUGGGGCGGUUGCUGCGCGAACGGAGAGAAGGGGAAGGAGGGUCGCGGCGCACGGGAGGAAGAAGAAGAGAGAGAGAGAGAAAAAAAGAGAAAAGAAAAAGAAAGAAAAAAAAUAUAUAUAUAAUAAGAAUUUUUUUUUCUUUUUCUUUUCUUUUCUUUUUUAUUUAAAUUAAUAUUAAAAUAUAUAAAAAUUUAAAAAUAUAUAUAUAUACAUAUAUAUUUUUACCUUUGGGUCUUUACAUUCUUCCCUCCUUAAGAAAUUUUCGUCCUCGAAAGUUUUAAUCCUGAAAUAACUCUGGAUAACGAGUCCUCAUCUCUUCCUCUCGCUCCCAUGUUGCGUCUUCAAUUCGAUGAUUCCGCCACAAAACCUUUACUAAUGGAAUGCUUCUAUUACGAAGCAUCUUUACCUCUCUAGCCAGAAUCUCCAUAGGUUGUUCUACAUAGCUCAAAUGCUCAUUAAUCUCCAAAGGUUCAUAGUCCACUACAUGAGAUGUAUCGGCCACAUACUUCCUCAACAUCGAAACAUGGAAAACAUUAUGAACUGCAGAGAGUGAUGGUGGUAAUGCCAAGCGAUACGCCACAACACCAACCCUCUCUAAGAUCUCAAAUGGUCCAACAAAACGAGGACUUAACUUUCCUUUCUUCUCAAAACGCAUAACACCCUUCAUAGGUGCUACCUUCAAGAAUACCUUUUCUCCCACAUCGAACUUAAGGUCUUUUCGCCGUACAUCUGCAUAACUCUUCUGUCUACUCUGCGCUGUUUGCAUACGCGUUCUAAUCUUUUGAAUAGCCUCAUUAGUAGACCGAACUAAUUCAGGUCCCAUCAAUCUAUGUUCACCAACCUCACUCCAACAAACAGGGGUUCUACAACAUUUGCCAAAGAAAGCCUCAAAUGGUGCCAUACCGAUGGUAGCCUGAAAACUGUUGUUAUAAGCAAACUCCAUCAAAUGUAGAUGAGAGUCCCAACUACCUGGAAACUCUAUAACACAAGCUCGUAGCAUAUCCUCUAAAACUUGGUUCAAACGUUCAGUUUGACCAUCAGUCUGUGGAUGAAAGGCUGUACUGAAAUCCAAUCUCGUACCCAUAGCAGUCUGAAGUCCCUUCCAAAACUUGGAAGUAAACCGUGCAUCCCUAUCAGAAACAAUCGAUACAGACACUCCAUGCAGUCUCACAACCUCAGUUAAAUACAACUGUGCCCACUUACUAGCAGUAAAAGUGGAUUUCCCUGGUACAAAAUGUGCCGAUUUCGUAAGCCUGUCUACAAUAACCCAAAUCACUGUGAAACCCUUCAGGGUUUUAGGCAAUUAUAUAAUAAAAUCCAUAGAUACAUUCUCCCACUUCCACUCUAAUAUACUCAAAGGUUGCAACAAACCUGUUGUUUUCUAUCUUGGUGCUUUAACCUACUAGCACACCAAGCACUUACUAACAAGAUUUUCCAUUUCUCUCUUCAUAUUACGCUAGUAACAAACUCUUUUCAAUUCCGGAUACAUUUUUGUGCUACUUGGAUGCAUGAGAAAUGGGAAACUAUGAGUCUCAACCAAUAACCUUGUCUUAAUUGCAUUUUCUGUUGGCACACACAAUUUUCUUUCAAACAUAAGUUCAUCAUCAAAGGAUAUGGAAAACUCCUUAACUUGCCCUACUUCUACUAGGUGAUGCUUCUCAAUCAAAUAAGGAUCAAUGAAUUGAACCACAAGAAUUCUUUGUCUCAAGGUCGGAUGUACUGACAACUGAGCUAACUUUGAGGUGACUUCCCCCACUGAAACUACAAUCUCAGCUCUCUCGUGGUUUUUGUCUAAUGAAACCUGUCUGGUAAUAAGUGCUGUCAAAAUGUGAUACUUUUCUACGAAGAGCACCAACUUCCACAUUCGCCUUACCUAGAUGGUACAAAAUCUCACAAUCAUAGUCAUUUACUAAUUCAAACCAUCUUUGCUAUCUCAUACUCAACUUCUUUUGAGUGAAGAAGUAUUUUAUACUCUUUUGGUUAGAAAAUAUCUAUAUCUUUUCAUCAUACAUAUAGUGCCUUCAAAUCAUUAAUGUAAAAACCACAACUGUCAAUUCCAUAUCAUAAGUUGGACAAUUUUCCUCAUGACUCUUCAACUGACGAGGAGUACAAGCAACUACUUUAACUUGUUGAAUCAGAAUACCUUUUAAACUUUCCUAAAAGCAUCACUAUAAAUUACGGAACAUUCUGAACCAUCAUGUACGGUAAGCACGGGAGUUGUACAAGCUUCUGCUUAAGAUCCUGAACACUAUCCUCAUAGGCUUUGUCCCAAACAAACAGAGUCCCUUUUCUUAGUUAACUGAGUCAAAGGAGUAGCUAUACGAGAAAAUUCUUAUACAAACCGUUAGUAAUAACCUGCUGAACCCAAAAAGACUACGAACCUCACUGACUAUGAAAAGUUGAGGCCAACUGGUAACGACUUCAAUCUUUUAUGAGAUCCACAUAAAUGUCAUCUCUAGAUACCACAUGGCUUGGAAAGAUACUUGGCCUCAUCCAAAACUCACAUUUUGAAAACUUUGCAUACAAUUUGUUGACUCGAAGAGCCUCUUAAAACCAUGUUAAAUGCUCCUCAUGCGCUGUCUCUAUUUUGGAAUAAAUUAAGAUAUCGUCAAUAAAUACAAUCACGAAAGUGUCUAAGAGAUCGUUAAACACUUUGUUCAUCAAGUCGUAAACAUUGUUUGAGCAUUUGCCCACUCAAAAGACAUCAUAAUGAACUCAUGAUGUCCAUAUCUCGAACGAAAAUCUGCCUUAGGAAUGUCACUGUUCUCUAAUCCUCAACAAGUCAUAACCUGAAUGUAAUUCAAUCUUAAAGAACACGGACUUAUUGCAGUUGAUCAAACAAAUCCUCAUUCAUUGGUAAAAGAUAUUUAUUCUUAACCGACACCUUAUUCAACUUUCUACAAUCAAAACAUAAGUGCAUCGACCCAUCUUUCUUCUUAAUAAACAAAAAUUGGUGCACCCCAAGAUAACAUACUUCGUCGAAUGUAGUCCUUGUCAAACAUUUCUUUCAAUUGCACCUUCAAAUCUUUCAACUCUGUUGGGGCCAUUUUGUAUGAAGCUUUAGAUAUAGGAACGAGUCUAACUCUAUCUCAAUAACAAGACCAAUUUCUGUUUAGCACGGUAAUCUUAGAAACUCUUCUAGAAAAAUAUCAUAAUACUUUUUCACCACUGAUUCAAAUAACAAAGAAACAUCGACUUCUCUGGUGUCUACCACACUAGUCAAAUACAACAGGUACCCUGGUCAAGCAACUUACUAACCUUCAUAGUUGGGAUAACUUUUAGCGAAACGAUAGUUCCAACCUCUUUGUACUUGAAACUAGCCUCUGGAGAAGGAUUAGAAACUACAUUUUCGCUGAACAUUUUAUGUUUACAUGGUUAAACUACAUUCCAAUUUUCAAACUCCAAACUAGUAACUUUUCAUUCACGAGAAACUCAAAAUUGUUUCUUAAAGUCACAUCAAGACAACCAUGCUCAUCUUCCUUGUUUCUUUUCCAAUACCUCCAUUCUAAAACCAUUUAAUGUGUUUCGUAUAAACUUGACCGUGUAUUUAGUCCUCUUUAAAACCACCUACAUAACUUAUUUUUCUUAGAUUUCCAAUCACAAAACAGACAAUUUCGCUAACAACGUCUUACUUUUCUACUACUCGACCACUCCUUUGAACACCUCUACAUGGCAACAUUUUUCCUAAAUUUCACCAUUAAAUCCUUCACCAUUAAAUCAUAACAUUCAUGUAAUUCUAGUUUAACUUAGGCAAGGUCAUAUACAUAAACCAUACAUAUAAGCAUAAAGCAUACCUGACGAGAGACGAAGGGUCGCGUUAGCCAUAGGGACACAAAAACAUAGACUUACAUCGUAAGUCAGUCUACAGAACCUAAAACUUAGGCUUUGAUACCAACUGUAACGACCCAACUUUUCUAGGUAAAUCGAGGUCAUUAAUUUUUAACAAAAGACUUUGAUUGAUACAAAAUGAAACGUAAGUCAAUUUUAAAAACAAAUUAUGUCAGGCCUGAUUUUCAAAUAUUCAAGAAAACAUAAAAAUAACACUAUUUACAAAUAAAAGUUUGUAAACUAAGUUUUUAGUACAUUUUAAACCUCACAAGAACCCAUAAGCGGAGCAAAAACACGUUUCCUAUGGCAUCACGCUUCCUUCCUGCCCCUCGCCUGUUUGCCGCCUUUAUUACCUUUGCCUGAAAAUUAAACAUAAGAAGGGUGAGUAUUUUAAAUACUCAGUAAGAGACCCUCUACUGGUCUCGUCAGGAGAAAAUAAAUUAUUAACGAUCUAUUGGGACACCCUGUACAGUCACAGUCUUGUGAUCCCGUAGGAUACAUAUCUCAGUCUAACGCCCCGAGGGACGUACAUAUCAGUCUAGUGUUCUGCAGAAACACAUAUCAGUCAAAUGCUCCCGAAGGUUCACAAUAAAUUGGUGAUCCCGUGGGACACCUACAAGGUAAACAUCCCAAUACAAUCUAACAAUUUAUCCCCUCAUUCCAUUCAACCCAUCUUUCAGUUACUUCAAGUCACAAAGUUCUUUCUUUCAACAUCCUAACAGUCAACUUAUUUUACUACAGUCAUAUGUCUGUCAAUAAUAUGCUAAUACAUCAGUCAAUCCACUAUACAGUCAAUGCACCCCUCAGUUCACCAGCACAAACCACAGUUCAGUAUAAUCCACAUCCAACCGAAACAAAUUCACUAGUUCACAUCCAAUCUUUAUACAGCACAAUCUAUUAAUAUCAUCAUGUACACAUAAGCAUAAUUUCAGUCAUUCACAUGUAUACUUUUGGCAAUCCACAUCAAUUCACACAUCAAUGUAUAUAUAUAUGUUUCCAGUCAAAUACAACAUACACUAAACAUUUAGUCUGCAAUCAAACAUGUACAUCUUAAUCAUCAUCCAUACAGUCCAACACAACUCAAAAACUUUAGGUGAGUCCAGUAGAAAGUCCCUUACCUGGAUCUUUAUGUAAAAUUCCUUAGUCGAACUACGAACUAACUUCAACAAACAAACCCCAAGAGUAAAGAAUCGAACUCCAACAAAGCUUAAGGCGUAACUCAAGGACACUAACUCCAAAUCACCGAUGUCACCUUCAAGAACAAAGAUCAAUUCAACCAAUUAAACAACAUCACAUCUUAAUGUAUUUACAAAUGUAAGACCUUAUUACCGAACAAUCUCAUCCUUACCAAUAUCUUGUAACAAGACUUUGACAAUCGACGUUAAAUAGAACUUGCCGCAGGAUCUACACAAAAGACAUCGUGCAAAACACUUCUGCACGCGAACCGGUCCGUGAUUCGUAAAUGGGACAGCGGGUAUCGACGAAGGCAGAACGGUUCGGACGUUCAACAGCAGUUACGCGCGGACGGGAGUAGCCCGGCAACGUAGCCGAACUCGUGCGAUGCGGCGUGACCUGCGUCGGCGAGGCUGUUCGUGACUGAGGCGUGCGACUUGCCUCGCGGACGGAGAUAGAGACGGCGGAGACGGUUGCAGAACCGUGGCUUCGACGGAGACAGACUCGGCUGCGACGGCUGGGCAGCGGCGGAAGAGCAACGGCGCCGCAGAUCUGGACCGGAUAGUUACGUGGCGGCUGCUGCAAGGCUGCUUCGCGAACGGAGAUGGAGAACGGAAUGGAGGUCGAGGCGCUCGGCUUUAGUAGGGGAGACGCGGCGGCCGACGGCUGCUGCGAACGGAAGACAAGAAGACGGUGGGGUCGUCGCGGCGCACGGGAGGAAGGAGAAGAGGGGCGGCGGUUGCGGCUGGGCACGAACGAAAGGAGAAGAGGACGGUUGGGGCGGUUGCUGCUGCGCGAACGGAGAGAAGGGGAAGGAGGGUCGCGGCGCACGGGAGGAAGAAAAAGAGAAUUUUCUUUUUCUUUUCUUUUAUUUAAUAAAAAUAUAAUUAUAAAUAUAUAUAUAUAUAUAUAUAUAUAUAUAUUUAUAUAAUUAUAUUAAUACAUUUUCAAAUCUUCUUUCUCUCCUUCAACAUAUUUUUUUAAAAAAAAUAUCUUGAACAAAUCGAAAUAAUUCUCUUAAAAUAAAAUACCUUCAAGUUUAGGGCGUUACAUUCUUCCCUCCUUAAGAAACUUUCGUCCUCGAAAGUUCUAAUCCUUAAAUAACUCUAGAUAACGAGUCAUCAUCUCUUCUUCUCGCUCCCAUGUCGCCUCUUCAAUUCGAUGAUUCUGCCACAAAACCUUUACUAAUGGAAUGCUUCUAUUACGAAGCAUCUUUACCUCUCUAGCCAGAAUCUCCACAGGUUGUUCUACAUAGCUCAAAUGCUCAUCAAUCUCCAAGGGUUCAUAGUCCACUACAUGAGAUGUAUCGGCCACAUACUUCCUCAACAUCGAAACAUGAAAAACAUUAUGAACUGCAGAGAGAGAUGGUGGUAAUGCCAAGCGAUACGCCACAACACCAACCCUCUCUAAGAUCUCAAAUGGUCCAACAAAACGAGGACUUAACUUUCCUUUCUUCUCAAAACGCAUAACACCCUUCAUAGGUGCUACCUUCAAGAAUACCUUUUCUCCCCACAUCGAACUUAAGGUCUUUUCACCGUACAUCUGCAUAACUCUUCUGUCUACUCUGCGCUGUUUGCAUACGCGUUCUAAUCUUUUGAAUAGCCUCAUUAGUAGACCGAACUAAUUCAGGUCCCAUCAACCUAUGUUCACCAACCUCACCCCAACAAACAGGGGUUCUACAACAUUUGCCAUACAAAGCCUCAAAUGGUGUCAUACCGAUGGUAGCCUGGAAACUGUUGUUAUAAGAAAACUCCAUCAAAUGUAGAUGAGAGUCCCAACUACCUGGAAACUCUAUAACACAAGCUCGUAGCAUAUCCUCUAAAACUUGGUUCAAACGUUCAGUUUGACCAUCAGUCUGUGGAUGAAAGGCUGUACUAAAAUCCAAUCUCGUACCCAUAGCAGUCUGAAGUCCCUUCCAAAACUUGGAAGUAAACCGUGCAUCCCUAUCAGAAACAAUCGAUACAGGCACUCCAUGCAGUCUCACAACCUCAGUUAAAUACAACUCUGCCCACUUACUAGCAGUAUAAGUGGAUUUCCCUGGUACAAAAUGUGCCGAUUUCGCAAGCCUGUCUAUGACAACCAGAAUCACUGUGAAACCCUUCAGGGUCUUAGGCAACCCUGAAAUAAAAUCCAUCGACACAUUCUCCCACUUCCACUCUGGCACACUUAAAGGUUGUAACAAACCUGCUGGUUUCUGUCUAGGUGUCUUAACUUGCUGACAUACUAAGCACUUACUAACAAGAUCUUCCAUUUCUCUCUUCAUAUUACGCUAGUAACAAACUCUUUUCAGAUCUGGAUACAUUUUUGUGCUACUUGGAUGCAUGAGAAAUGGCAAACUAUGAGUCUCAACCAAUAACCUUGUCUUAAUUGCAUUUUCUGUUGGCACACACAAUUUUCUUUCAAACAUAAGUUCAUCAUCAAAGGAUAUGGAAAACUCCUUAACUUGCCCUACUUCUACUAGGUGAUGCUUCUCAAUCAAAUAAGGAUCAAUGAAUUGAACCACAAGAAUUCUUUGUCUCAAGGUCGGAUGUACUGACAACUGAGCUAACUUUGAGGUGACUUCCCCCACUGAAACUACAAUCUCAGCUCUCUCGUGGUUUUUGUCUAAUGAAACCUGUCUGGUAAUAAGUGCUGUCAAAAUGUGAUACUUUUCUACGAAGAGCACCAACUUCCACAUUCGCCUUACCUAGAUGGUACAAAAUCUCACAAUCAUAGUCAUUUACUAACUGAAACCAUCUUUGCUAUCUCAUACUCAACUUCUUUUGAGUGAAGAAGUAUUUUAUACUCUUUUGGUUAGAAAAUAUCUAUAUAUUUUCAUCAUACAUAUAGUGCCUUCAAAUCAUUAAUGUAAAAACCACAACUGUCAAUUCCAUAUCAUAAGUUGGACAAUUUUUCUCACGAGGAGUACAAGCAACUACUUUAACUUGUUGAAUAAGAAUACCUUUUAAACUUUCCUAAAAGCAUCACUAUAAAUUACGGAACAUUCUGAACCAUCAUGUACGGUAAGCACGGGAGUUGUACAAGCUUCUGCUUAAGAUCCUGAACACUAUCCUCAUAGGCUUUGUCCCAAACAAACGGAGUCCCUUUUCUUAGUUAACUGAGUCAAAGGAGUAGCUAUACGAGAAAAUUCUUAUACAAACCGUCAGUAAUAACCUGCUGAACCCAAAAAGACUACGAACCUCACUGACUAUGAAAGGUUGAGGCCAACUGGUAACGACUUCAAUCUUUUAUGAGAUCCACAUAAAUGUCAUCUCUAGAUACCACAUGGCUUGGAAAGAUACUUGGCCUCAUCCAAAACUCACAUUUUGAAAACUUUGCAUACAAUUUGUUGACUCGAAGAGCCUCUAAAACCAUGUUAAAUGCUCCUCAUGCGCUGUCUCUAUUUUGGAAUAAAUUAAGAUAUCGUCAAUAAAUACAAUCACGAAAGUGUCUAAGAGAUCGUUAAACACUUUGUUCAUCAAGUCGUAAACAUUGUUUGAGCAUUUGCCAACUCAAAAGACAUCAUAAUGAACUCAUGAUGUCCAUAUCUCGAACGAAAAUCUGCCUUAGGAAUGUCACUGUUCUCUAAUCCUCAACAAGUCAUAACCUGAAUGUAAUUCAAUCUUAAAGAACACGGACUUAUUGCAGUUGAUCAAACAAAUCCUCAUUCAUUGGUAAAAGAUAUUUAUUCUUAACCGACACCUUAUUCAACUUUCUACAAUCAAAACAUAAGUGCAUCGACCCAUCUUUCUUCUUAAUAAACAAAAAUUGGUGCACCCCAAGAUAACAUACUUCGUCAAAUGUAGUCCUUGUCAAACAUUUCUUUCAAUUGCACCUUCAAAUCUUUCAACUCUGUUGGUGCCAUUUUGUAUGAAGCUUUAGAUAUAGGAACGAGUCUAACUCUAUCUCAAUAACAAGACCAAUUUCUGUUUAGCACGGUAAUCUUAGAAACUCUUCUAGAAAAAUAUCAUAAUACUUUUUCACCACUGAUUCAAAUAACAAAGAAACAUCGACUUCUCUGGUGUCUACCACACUAGUCAAAUACAACAGGUACCCUGGUCAAGCAACUUACUAACCUUCAUAGUUGGGAUAACUUUUAGCGAAACGAUAGUUCCAACCUCUUUGUACUUGAAACUAGCCUCUGGAGAAGAAUUAGAAACCACAUUUGCACUGAACAUUUUAUGUUUACAUGGUUAAACUACAUUCCAAUUUUCAAACUCCAAACUAGUAACUUUUCAUUCACGAGAAACUCAAAAUUGUUUCUUAAAGUCACAUCAAGACAACCAUGCUCAUCUUCCUUGUUUCUUUUCCAAUACCUCCAUUCUAAAACCAUUUAAUGUGUUUCGUAUAAACUUGACCGUGUAUUUAGUCCUCUUUAAAACCACCUACAUAACUUAUUUUUCUUAGAUUUCCAAUCACAAAACAGACAAUUUCGCUAACAACGUCUUACUUUUCUACUACUCGACCACCCCUUUGAACACGUCUACAUGGCAACAUUUUUCCUAAAUUUCACCAUUAAAUCCUUCACCAUUAAAUCAUAACAUUCAUGUAAUUCUAGUUUAACUUAGGCAAGGUCAUAUACAUAAACCAUACAUAUAAGCAUAAAGCAUACCUGACGAGAGACGAAGGGUCGCGUUAGCCAUAGGGACACAAAAACAUAGACUUACAUCGUAAGUCAGUCUACAGAACCUAAAACUUAGGCUCUGAUACCAACUGUAACGACCCAACUUUUCUGGGUAAGUCGAGGUCGUUAAUUUUUGAACAAAAGACUUUGGUUGAUACAAAUUGAAACAUAAGUCAAUUUAAAAACAAAACAUGUCAGGCCUGAUUUUCAAAUAUUCAAGAAAACUUAACAAUAACACUAUUUACAAAUAAAAUUUUGUAAACUAAGUUUUAGUACAUCUUAAACCUUAAAAGAAAUCAUAAGCGGAAGCAAAAUAACACAUUCCCUAUGGCAAUCACGCUUCCUUCCUGCCCCUCGCCGGUUUGCCACCUUUAUUUCCUUUGCCUGAAAAUUAAACAUAAGAAGGGUGAGUAUAACAAUACUCAGUAAGAGACCCUCUACUGGUCUCUUCAUGGGAAAAUAAAUUGUUAAAGUUCUAUUGGGACACCUUGUACAGUCGCAGUCUUGUGAUCCCGUAUGAUACACAUUUCAGUCUAACGCCCCGAGGGACGUACAUAUCAGUCUAACGCCCUGAGGGACGUACAUAUCAGUCUAACGCCCCGAGGGACGUACAUAUCAGUCAAGUGUUCUACAGAAACACAUAUCAGUCAAAUGCUCCCGAAGGUGCAAAAUAAAUUGGUGAUCCCGUGGGACACCUACAAGGUAAACAUCCCAAUACAACCUAACAAUUUAUCCCCUCAUUCCAUUCAACCCAUCUUUCAGUUACUUCAAAUCACAAAGUCCUUUCUUUCAACAUCCUAACAGUCAACUUAUUUUACUACAAUCAUAUGUCUGUCAAUAAAAUGCUAAUACAUCAGUCAAUCCACUAUACAGUCAAGUCAAUACACCCCUCAGUUCACCAGCACAAACCACAGUUCAGUAUAAUCCACAUCCAACCGAAACAAAUUCACUAGUUCACAUCCAAUCUUUAUACAGCACAAUCUAUUAAUAUCAUCAUGUACACAUAAGCAUAAUUUCAGUCAUUCACAUGUAUACUUUUGGCAAUCCACAUCAAUUCACACAUCAAUGUAUAUAUAUAUGUUUCCAGUCAAAUACAACAUACACUAAACAUUUAGUCUGCAAUCAAACAUGUACAUCUUAAUCAUCAUCCAUACAGUCCAACACAACUCAAAAACUUUAGGUGAGUCCAGUAGAAAGUCCCUUACCUGGAUCUUUAUGUAAAAUUCCUUAGUCGAACUACGAACUAACUUCAACAAACAAACCCCAAGAGUAAAGAAUCGAACUCCAACAAAGCUUAAGGCGUAACUCAAGGACACUAACUCCAAAUCACCGAUGUCGCCUUCAAGAACAAAGAUCAAUUCAACCAAUUAAACAACAUCACAUCUUAAUGUAUUUACAAAUGUAAGACCUUAUUACCGAACAAUCUCAUCCUUACCAAUAUCUUGUAACAAGACUUUGACAAUCGACGUUAAAUAGAAGUUGCCGUAGGAUCUACACAAAAGACAUCGUGCAAAACACUUCUGCACGCGAACCGGUCCGCGAUUCGUAAAUGGGACAGCGGGUAUCGACGAAGGCAGAACGAUUCGGACGUUCAACAGCAGUUAUGCGCGGACGGGAGUAGCCCGGCAACGUAGCCGAACUCGUGCGAUGCGGCGUGACCUGCAUCGGCGAGGCUGUUCGUGACUGAGGCGUGCAACUUGCCUCGCGGACGGAGAUAGAGACGGCGGAGACGGUUGCAGAACCGUGGCUUCGACGGAGACAGAACCGGCUGCGACGGCUGGGCAGCGGCGGAAGAGCAACGGCGCCGCAGAUCUGGACCGGAUAGUUACGCGGCGGCUGCUGCAAGGCUGCUUCGCGAACGGAGAUGGAGAACGGAAUGGAGGUCGAGGCGCUCGGCUUCAGUAGGGGAGACGCGGCGGCCGACGGCUGCUGCAAACGGAAGAGAAGAAGACGGUGGGGUCGUCGCGGCACACGGGAGGAAGGAGAAGAGGGGCGGCGGUUGCGGCUGGGCACGAACGGAAGGAGAAGAGGACGGUUGGGGCGGUUGCUGCGCGAACGGAGAGAAGGGGAAGGAGGGUCGCGGCGCACGGGAGGAAGAAAAAGAGAAUUUUCUUUUUCUUUUCUUUUAUUUAAUAAAAAUAUAAAAUAUAUAUAUAUAUAAUUAUAUUAAUACAUUUUCAAAUCUUCUUUCUCUCCUUCAACAUAUUUUUUUAAAAAAAAUAUCUUGAACAAAUCGAAAUAAUUCUCUUAAAAUAAAAUACCUUCAAGUUUAGGGCGUUACAGUUCGAUUCGAUUUCUAUUUCAAAAAAACCACAUAAAAUUCGAUUCGGUUCAGUUUAAGAUGUUAAGAACCGAUUCUCAAACCGAACUGAAUUGCUUUAUUUUAAAAACUAAAUAUAUAUAUAUAUAUAUAUAUAUGUUAAUAAUAAGACUUUUUUAGACUUCAAAGCGGGUAUAGAGGCAAAAAUAAAUGAGAGGAACGAAAAGGAGAAGAAUGACAUAAUCAAAACGUAAAUGACAAGUUGUCUUGACGAAGUUUGUAUGACUGUAGGACUUUUAUUCAUCUUAGGUGGAUUUUAAAACUUCUAUGUGUUGUUGGACUUUCAAAUUUCAAUGUUUGAAACAUCUAUGUCUGUAAUUUUGAAAUUUCUAUGUUUAUAACUUUGUAUAAGCCGUUCGGUUUUGAUUUGAUUUUAUUUAUGUAUAUGUGGUUCGGUUUUCAUUCGGUUUGGCAUAGAUGAGCGGUUCGGUUCGGUUUCAAUGAAGAUUUUUUUUAUCAUUUUGCGGUUCGAUGCGGUUUUAGCUUCAAACCGAACCGCGAACAACACUAAUAUGUAAUGUUGAGAUCAACUGAAUAUGUUUGUAAUGUAGGGACUUUGAUGAAAGAAUUAAAGAUUCAGGAAAUUGUAUGAAAAAAAUGGUUGAAUGUUAAAUUGACUUAUGAAUAGUGUAUAUGAAACAAUACAUUAUAUAUUUUAUGAAUGAAAUGUUAUGCAAUCAAUUUGUUAAACUGGUUUAUUUAUUUUAUUUCAAAUAUUUAUUUUAUAUGUAAUAAAUAAUAAGUUAUGUUUGAAACAACAGUAUAAGGAUAUAUCAUAAUAUAUAUUGUUCAUUUAAGGUUAGUAAGAAUUUUAUAUUUUGUAUUUGAAAUAUACUAUGAUAUACUGAGUACAUCAAAGAUGACAUCAUUUAUGUACUAUUGAAAAUAUGAAGUAGUAUAUAUAUGUAACAAAUCACAUAAGAUAUAUGUAUCAUGUACUAGUAUAUACGUCAUUAUUUAUAUAUACACACCUAAUGAAAAAAAGUAGAGUGUGUGGGACCCACGUAUAUAAAUAAUGAGAAAAUAAAAAAUGUUGGCCCAAUGUAAUAUAUAUAUAAAGUAAAAAAUAAACUAUGUAGGGUCCACUGCAUGAAAAUUGUGUAGGGGUACAAAACUUCACCUCAACUCACCUAUUUUUGUCAAUAGUUUUGCAUUCACCUACUUUUGACAUAUGUUUCAAAAUUUACAUUAUUUUUUAAAAAAAGUACUAUACAUAAUAAAUAAUAACUCGUGAUUGAAACAAGAGUGGUUAUGUAUGAAGGAUAGUAUAUUAAAUAUAAUAAAUUGAAAAACUUUGAUUGGUACCGUAGAUGAAAAUUUAUGAAAAAAUAUAGAAAUAAAAUAACUAAAUUAAAAACUGAAAUAUGAAUAUUUCAAAUAAAAGUAUAAAUCAACAUACUAAAAGUUUAAUAAUAAGAAAGAAAAAUUAGUUCAAUAAGUAAAGCUUGCAUCUCUUUCGUUUAUGACAACCACAUUUAAAACUUCAUUUUAGAAUGAAUUCUAAUAUUUUUUUGUUGACCAACUGAACGUUUUACAUUCAAUGGGAUGAUGUCAACUUCAAUUACUGUAUAAUUGAAUAUAUGCAUUAGUGUGUAUGUAACAAAUCAAAUAAAAUACUAAUCGAAUAUAGAAAAAUAUAAAGAAAAUGAUACAAAACGUGAAGGAAAAAAACUGAACUAUAUAUGUGUCACAAAAUACGUGUUAUUAUAUUUAUAUAAAUGUAUAUAUUGAUAACAUCACCUGUCUAUGUAGUGAUAUAUAUUGAAAUUCAACUAUAAAUUAUGUAGAACUAUAUGUCACUAAAUAUUUAUGUUGUAAAUAAGGUGUAUCUAUAUAUUAAAUCACAUCAUAAACAUAUUAUAAUUUACGAGUAUAUUAUAGUAUAUAUUGUUCAUUUAAAAGAUAUAUGACAAAUAGAAGGUAUAUAAUUAUACGAAGUGAGAAUAUGUAUGUAUGAUAUUCUCACUACAUAUUAUAUAUACACUAAGAAUGUGUAUUUUACUGUUUUAGUAGUAUUUACUAUAUAAAUAUAUAUUUUAAAUAUUAAUUAUUAAUGAAUAUAUAGUUUACUACAUGUUGUUACAACAUACUUAAGAUAUAAAUGUUUAUAUGACUAACAACAUAAUAUUACUAUAAGAUAAACAAAAAAAUAAAGAACAGAUUGAAUUGAAAAAUAUUUUCGAUUAUUGUAUGUCACUAUAUAUGUCUGAUUGUAUAUAUCUCUAAGAAAUAUUACAUAAUGAGGUAGUAUAUAUGUAACAAAUCACAUAAUAUAUAUGUAUUAUGGAGUAGUAUAAAUGUAAUUGUUGAGCAAGAAAUUUCAACCAAUGAAAUUACACCACGUCGUCGCACCCAAGUUGUGAUGAUUAUAAUUUGAUUGGAUUUGGGUAGUCAAGUUUUCCAACCCAAUUCAAGCCCCUGAUAAAAAAUCAGGCCAAACAAGGGGCCUAAGCCCACUAAGAAAAUGGGCCCAAGCCCAAGUCCAAGCUCAACAACUCAACAAGCAAAUGGGUCCAAGCCCACAUAAAGUCCACAAAUUUUCUCUAUAAGUAGAGACCUUUGUCAUUCAUUCGAGAGAUCUUUUGUUGAAGGAAGAAAUGAAGCUCUGAAGUAGUGAAGCUUUGAAGAAUUGAAGAUUCAAACUUCUAUAGAGCUCUCAAGACGUGCAAGUUCUGAUCAACUUCGAGAUCAUCAUCUUGUGAAAUAUUGAAGACUUGGAAAAUCAAAAUUUCCUUGAAUUCUAGAAGACUGAAGCUGAAAUAGACCGAACCAUUUAAAUUCAGUUUGGACUAUUUGAGACAGCAACAAACUUUGUUUUUUGUUUUGUACAUAAAUGGUGUGGUUUGAUUCGGUUUUAACAAGCGGUUCAAUUUAUACCGUUUAGACUUGAUCUUAUAUAAUGUGAAAUUAUUUUUUUUUCUUUGAAUUUUUAUCUAAGUGUACUCAAAUUGUAUACCAUGUUACAAAAUUAAUUGCAAUAAAAUUUUUAAAAUUUUCAAAAAUAUAAUAAAUUGACUAAUAUUUUAUACAAAUAUAGAGUAAAAAUGACCAAUUUACUCUUUUUAUUAUUAAUAAUAUAUUAAAAAUAAAAAGAAAAGUGAACCACGUUUAAGAUUUUCAUUUAUUAAAUAUUAUAUGAAAAUAUGGAUUAAAUUCUAUUAAAGUAAUAUUAAUAAUAAAAAUUGUCCUUAGUUUGCUUUUUAUGAUUUUAUUAAAAAAUUGUCCUUUUUUAUUUUGCAUUCUUUUUCAUAUAUUUUAUAUAAUUAUAGUAUAUAUUAAAUAAUAUAAUGUAUAUUUUAUUUGUGAAAUGUUCUUAUAUCAAUUUAUUUAUUUAUUUUAUAUAAAUAUUCAUAUCUUACGUAGUAAAUAAUACAUUAUGUUUGAAAUAAUAUUAAUUAUAUAUGAAAGUUGUUUAUGUUUACAAGAACAUGAAUGAGAAAUAAUUAUGAUGAGUAUAUGUAAUAUAUGUCAUUAAAAUAUUUGUUAUUCUCUAGUAUAUGUAAUAGGGGUGUUCAAAAUGAAGUUGAAAACUGAAUCGAAUCACUAAUCGAACCGAAAUCGAAUGCAUAUGGUUCGGUUCGAUUCGAUUUUUAUUUCAAAAAAACCACAUAAAAUUCGGUUCGGUUCAGUUUAAGAUGUUAAGAACCGAUUCUCAAACCGAACUGAAUUACUUAAUUUUAAAAACUAUAUAUAUAUAUAUAUAUGUUAAUAAUAAGACUUUUUUAGACUUCAAAGCGGGUAUAGAGGCAAAAAUCAAUGAGAGGAACGAAAAGGAGAAGAAUGACAUAAUCAAAACGUAAAUGACAAGUUGUCUUGACGAAGUUUGCAUGACUGUAGGACUUUUAUUCAUCUUAGGUGGAUUUUAAAACUUCUAUGUGUUGUUGGACUUUCAAAUUUCAAUGUUUGAAACAUCUAUGUCUGUAAUUUUGAAAUUUCUAUGUUUAUAACUUUGUAUAAGCCGUUCGGUUUUGAUUUGAUUUUAUUUAUGUAUAUGUGGUUCGGUUUUCAUUCAGUUUGGCAUAGAUGAGCAGUUCGGUUCGGUUUCAAUGAAGAUUUUUUUUAUCAUUUUGCGGUUCGAUGCGGUUUUAGCUUCAAACCGAACCGCGAACAUCACUAAUAUGUUGUAACGACCCAACUUUUCUAAGUACGUCGAGAUCGUUAAUUUUUAACAAAUAAAGACUUUGAUUAAUAUAAAACAAAACGUAAGCAAUUUAAAACAAAACAUCUUCAAGUCAGGCCUGAUUUUUAAACAUUCAAGAAAACAUAAAAUAAUACUAUUUACAACCAACGUUUGUAAACUAAAUUUCAAUUCAUUUUAAACCUCACAAGAACCCAUAAGCGGAAGCAAAAACACGUUUCCUAUGGCAUCACGCUUCCUUCCUGCCCCUCGCCUGUUUGCCGCCUUUAUUACCUUUGCUGAAAAUUAAACAUAAGAAGGGUGAGUAUAACAAUACUCAGUAAGAGACCUUCUACUGGUCUCGUCAGGGGAAAAUAAAUUGUUAAAGUUCUAUUGGGACACCCUGUACAGUCGCAGUCUUGUGAUCCCGUAGGAUACACAUCUCAGUCUAACGCCCCGAGGGACGUACAUAUCAGUCUAACGCCCCGAGGGACGUACAUAUCAGUCUAACGCCCCGAGGGACGUACAUAUCAGUCUAGUGUUCUGCAGAAACACAUAUCAGUCAAAUGCUCCCGAAGGUGCAAAAUAAAUUGGUGAUCCCGUGGGACACCUACAAGGUAAACAUCCCAAUACAAUCUAACAAUUUAUCCCCUCAUUCCAUUCAAUCCAUCUUUCAGUUACUUCAAAACAUAGAGUUCUUUCUCUCAACGUCCAAACAGUCAACUUAUCUCACUUUAGUCAUAUGUCUGUCAAUAAUAUACUUAUACGUCAGUCAAUCAAACUAUACAGUCAAUACACCCCUCAGAUCACCAGCACACAGUCAUACUUUAGCGUAACGUACACCCAAUCUAAACGACAAUCACAAGAUCGCAUCUGCAUCUCAUACAAGCACAAUCUACAACAUCACCUGUCUAUGUAGUGAUAUAUAUUGAAAUUCAACUAUAAAUUAUGUAGAACUAUAUGUCACUAAAUAUUUAUGUUGUAAAUAAGGUGUAUCUAUAUAUUAAAUCACAUCAUAAACAUAUUAUAAUUUACGAGUAUAUUAUAGUAUAUAUUGUUCAUUUAAAAAAUAUAUGACAAAUAGAAGGUAUAUAAUUAUACGAAGUGAGAAUAUGUAUGUAUGAUAUUCUCACUACAUAUUAUAUAUACACUAAGAAUGUGUAUUUUACUGUUUUAGUAGUAUUUACUAUAUAAAUAUAUAUUUUAAAUAUUAAUUAUUAAUGAAUAUAUAUGUAACGACCCAACUUUUCUAGGUAAGUCGAGGUCAUUAAUUUUUAACAAAAGACUUUGGUUGAUACAAAAUGAAACGUAAGUCAAUUUAAAAACAAUUUAUGUCAGGCCCGAUUUUCAAAUAUUCAAGAAAACUUAAAAAUAACACUAUUUACAAAUAAAAGUUUGUAAACUAAGUUUUAGUACAUCUUAAACCUCAAAAGAAACCAUAAGCGGAAGCAAAAUGACACAUUUCCUAUGACAAUCACGCUUCCUUCCUGCCCCUCGCCGGUUUGCCACCUUUAUUUCCUUUGCCUGAAAAUUAAACAUAAGAAGGGUGAGUAUAACAAUACUCAGUAAGAGACCCUCUACUGGUCUCGUCAGGGGAAAAUAAAUUGUUAAAGUUCUAUUGGGACACCCUGUACAGUCGCAGCUUGUGAUCCCGUAGGAUACACAUCUCAGUCUAACGCCCCGAGGGACGUACAUAUCAGUCUAACGCCCCGAGGGACGUACAUAUCAGUCUAACGCCCCGAGGGACGUUCAUAUCAGUCUAGUGUUCUGCAGAAACAUAUAUCAGUCAAAUGCUCCCGAAGGUGCAAAAUAAAUUGGUGAUCCCGUGGGACACCUACAAGGUAAACAUCCCAAUACAACCUAACAAUUUAUCCCCUCAUUCCAUUCAAUCCAUCUUUCAGUUACUUCAAAACAUAAAGUUCUUUCUCUCGACGUCCUAACAGUCAACUUAUCUCACUUUAGUCAUAUGUCUGUCAAUAAUAUACUAAUACGUCAGUCAAUCAAACUAUACAGUCAAUACACCCCUCAGUUCACCAGCACAAACCACAUUUGAGUACAAUCCACAUCCAACCGAAACAAAUUCACUAGUUCACAUCCAAAUCUUUAUACAGCACAAUCUAUUAAUAUCAUCAUGUACACAUAAGCAUAAUUUCAGUCAUUCACAUGUAUACUUUCGGCAAUCCACAUCAAUUCACACAUCAAUGUAUAUAUAUAUGUUUCUAGUCAAAUACAACAUACACUAAACAUUUAGUCUGCAAUCAAACAUGUACAUCUUAAUCAUCAUCCAUAUAGUCCAACACAACUCAAAAACUUUAGGUGAGUCCAGUAGAAAGUCCCUUACCUCAAAGUUGGGGAAACUCCUUAAUCAACUAACGUCCUCGAAACAAUCCUAAGCACAACAACACAAAAUUCAAUUACUUUCACGAUACAUAUCUCACUUACUUUCCUCAACGUAAGUUCCAACUCACCGAUAUACUGGCGAACUGAACCCUCAACAAUUCACAAAUUGAUUGUGAAUUUAAGGGAGCCCAACGUUACUCCCAACACCUCAACGCACGACUGUCGAACUCGCAGCAAAAAUCCUAAGUGUGGGUCGGUCAGCGGUCGGCCAAAUGAGAUGUGGCGGCUGGGCUUCACGGAUGGAGACCGUCGCGGACAGACCGCGAAUCUGAAUGGUUACAGCAAUUCUGAACGGUUACAGCAAAUCUGAACGGUUACAGCAACUAGUCGGCCGACGUGGAUAGCAGGUGGAGCGGCAGUUGUGAGCGGGGAGCGUGGCGGUUACUGGUUCACGCGGCGGCCUUGGCUUCGACAGAGACAGAACCGGCUGAGACGGCUGGGCAGCGGCGGAAGAGCAACGGCUGCAGCGGCGGAAGGUCUUGCGGUACAGAUCUAGACGGCGGCCGCAAGGUGACGCGUACGGCUGCCUCGCGAACUGGCCGAUGGUUGCAGCGACGUCCGGCUGGGUUUGGACGGAACGGAGAGGAGAAGAGAAGAUGGAGAUGGCCGGCGACGGUUGCUGUGCGAACGGAUGGAGCGGCUGGGCUGCGGCGGGAAGAAAACGGAGGAGAAAGGAUCGGCGGCUGGGCUGCGGCUGCGCACGAACGGAAGGAGAAGAGGAAUGGAGGUCGGCCGGUGGCGGUUGCUGCGCUGCGAACGGGGAGAGGGGAAGGGCGCACGGCGCACGGGAGGAGAAGAGAAGAGAAAAGAAAAAGAAAAAGAAAAAGAAAAAAGAAAAAAAAAUAAUAAAAAAUUUCUUUAUUAUUAUUAUUAUUUUUUUUUAAAUUAAUAAAAAUAAUAUAUAUACCUUUCCUUCUUUUCCUCUUUUUCUUCCUCUCUUCUUGGGGCAUUACAUUCUUCCCUCGUUAAGAAACUUUCGUCCUCGAAAGUUUUAAUCUUGAAAUAACUCUGGAUAACGAGUCCUCAUCUCUUCCUCUCGCUCCCAUGUCGCCUCUUCAAUUCGAUGAUUCCGCCACAAAACCUUUACUAAUGGAAUGCUUCUAUUACGAAGCAUCUUCACCUCUCUAGCCAGAAUCUCCACAGGUUGUUCUACAUAGCUCAAAUGCUCAUCAAUCUCCAAGGGUUCAUAGUCUACUACAUGAGAUGUAUCGACCACAUAUUUCCUCAACAUCGAAACAUGGAAAACAUUAUGGACUGCAGAGAGUGGUGGUGGUAACGCCAAGCGAUACGCCACAACACCAACCCUCUCUAAGAUCUCAAAUGGUUCAACAAAUCGAGGACUUAACUUCCCUUUCUUCUCAAAACGCAUAACACCCUUCAUUGGUGCUACCUUCAAGAAUAUCUUUUCUCCCACAUCAAACUUAAGGUCUUUUCGCCGUACAUCCGCAUAACUCUUCUGUCUACUUUGCGCUGUUUGCAUACGCGUUCUAAUCUUUUGAAUAGCCUCAUUAGUAGACCGAACUAAUUCAGGUCCCAUCAACCUAUGUUCACCAACCUCACUCCAACAAACAGGGGUUCUACAACAUUUGCCAAAGAAAGCCUCAAAUGGUGUCAUACCGAUGGUAGCCUGAAAACUGUUGUUAUAAGCAAACUCCAUCAAAUGUAGAUGAGAGUCCCAACUACCUGGAAACUCUAUAACACAAGCUCGUAGCAUAUCCUCUAAAACUUGGUUCAAAUGUUCAGUUUGACCAUCAGUCUGUGGAUGAAAGGCUGUACUAAAAUCCAAUCUCGUACCCAUAGCAGCCUGAAGUCCCUUCCAAAACUUGGAAGUAAACCGUGCAUCCCUAUCAGAAACAAUCGAUACAGGUACUCCAUGCAGUCUCACAAUCUCAGUUAAAUACAACUAUGCCCACUUACUAGCAGUAUAAGUGGAUUUUCCUGGUACAAAAUGUGCCGAUUUCGUAAGUCUGACUAUGACAACCAAAAUCACUGUGAAACCCUUCAGGGUCUUAGGCAGCCCUAAAAUAAAAUCCAUCGACACAUUCUCCCACUUCCACUCUGGCACACUUAAGGGUUGUAACAAACCUGCUGGUUUCUGUCUAGGUGCCUUAACCUGCUAGCACACCAAGCACUUACUAACAAUAUCUUCCACUUCUCUCUUCAUAUUACGCUAGUAACAAACUUUUUUCAGAUCCGGAUACAUUUUUGUGCUACUUGGAUGCAUGAGAAAUGGGAAACUAUGAGUCUCAACCAAUAACCUUGUCUUAAUUGCAUUUUCUGUUGGCACACAUAAACGUCUCUCAAACAUCAACCCACCAUCAGAGGAUAUGGAGAACUCAUCAGUCUGCCCUGUUUCAACAAGGCAACGUCUCUCCAUCAAAUAAGGAUCAUUACUCUGAGCAUCAACAAUCUUGUGCCUCAGAAUCGGUUGCACCGUUAAUUGAGCUAGCUGUGAGGUGACUCUCCCCACAGACACUGCAAUCUCAGCUCUCUCCAAGUCUGGAUGCAAUGGUACCUGUCUAGUAAUGAGUGCUGCCGAAUGUGAUACUUUUCUACUAAGAGCAUCAGCCCCCACAUUCGCCUUACCAGGAUGGUACAAUAUCUCACAGUCAUAAUCUUUUACCAACUCGAGCCACCUUCGCUGUCUCAUAUUCAACUCCUUCUGAGUGAAGAAAUACUUUAGGCUCUUAUGGUCAGUAAAGAUUUCUAUCUUUUCACCGUACAAAUAAUGUCUCCAUAUCUUCAAUGCAAAAACCACUGCUGCCAACUCCAAAUCAUGUGUGGGGUAGUUCUGCUCGUGACUCUUCAACUGACGAGAGGCAUAAGCAACUACUUUAACUUGUUGAAUCAUAAUACCUUUUAAACUUUCCUAAAAGCAUCACUAUAAAUUACGAAACUUUCUGAACCAUCAUGUACGGUAAGCACGGGAGUUGUACAAGCUUCGGCUUAAGAUCCUGAACACUAUCCUCAUAGGCUUUGUCCCAAACAAACGGAGUCCCUUUUCUUAGUUAACUGAGUCAAAGGAGUAGCUAUACGAGAAAAUUCUUAUACAAACCGUUAGUAAUAACCUGCUAAACCCAAAAAGACUAUGAACCUCACUGACUAUGAAAAGUCGAGGCCAACUAGUAACAACUUCAAUCUUUUGUGAGAUCCACAUAAAUGUCACCUCUAGAUACCACAUGGCUUGGAAAGAUACUUGGCCUCAUCCAAAACUCACAUUUUGAAAACUUUGCAUACAAUUCGUUGACUCGAAGAGCCUCUAAAACCAUGUUAAAUGCUCCUCAUGCGCUGUCUCUAUUUUGGAAUAAAUUAAGAUAUCGUCAAUAAAUACUAUCACGAAAGUGUCUAAGAGAUCGUUAAACACUUUGUUCAUCAAGUCGUAAACAUUGUUUGAGCAUUUGCCAACUCAAAAGACAUCAUAAUGAACUCAUGAUGUCCAUAUCUCGAACGAAAAUCUGCCUUAGGAAUGUCACUGUUCUCUAAUCCUCAACAAGUCAUAACCUGAAUGUAAUUCAAUCUUAAAGAACACGGACUUAUUGCAGUUGAUCAAACAAAUCCUCAUUCAUUGGUAAAAGAUAUUUAUUCUUAACCGACACCUUAUUCAACUUUCUACAAUCAAAACAUAAGUGCAUCGACCCAUCUUUCUUCUUAAUAAACAAAAAUUGGUGCACCCCAAGAUAACAUACUUCGUCAAAUGUAGUCCUUGUCAAACAUUUCUUUCAAUUGCACCUUCAAAUCUUUCAACUCUGUUGGUGCCAUUUUGUAUGAAGCUUUAGAUAUAGGAACGAGUCUAACUCUAUCUCAAUAACAAGACCAAUUUCUGUUUAGCACGGUAAUCUUAGAAACUCUUCUAGAAAAAUAUCAUAAUACUUUUUCACCACUGAUUCAAAUAACAAAGAAACAUCGACUUCUCUGGUGUCUACCACACUAGUCAAAUACAACAGGUACCCUGGUCAAGCAACUUACUUACCUUCAUAGCUGGGAUAACUUUUAGCAAAACGAUAGUUCCAACCUCUUUGUACUUGAAACUAGCCUCUAGAGAAGGAUUAGAAACUUCAUUUUCGCUGAACAUUUUAUGUUUACAUGGUUAAACUACAUUCCAAUUUUCAAACUCCAAACUAGUAACUUUUCAUUCACGAGAAACUCAAAAUUGUUUCUUAAAGUCACAUCAAGACAACCAUGCUCAUCUUCCUUGUUUCUUUUCCAAUACCUCCAUUCUAAAACCAUUUAAUGUGUUUCGUAUAAACUUGACCGUGUAUUUAGUCCUCGUUAAAACCACCUACAGAACUUAUUUUUCUUAGAUUUCCAAUCACAAAACAGACAAUUUCGCUAACAACGUCUUACUUUUCUACUACUCGACCACUCCUUUGAACACCUCUACAUGGCAACAUUUUUCCUAAAUUUCACCAUUAAAUCCUUCACCAUUAAAUCAUAACAUUCAUGUAAUUCUAGUUUAACUUAGGCAAGGUCAUAUACAUAAACCAUACAUAUAAGCAUAAAGCAUAACUAACGCGACCCUGACCUCGACUUACCUAGAAAAGUUGGGUCGUUACAAUAUAGUUUACUACAUGUUGUUACAACAUACUUAAGAUAUAAAUGUUUAUAUGACUAACAACAUAAUAUUACUAUAAGAUAAACAAAAAAAUAAAGAACAGAUUGAAUUGAAAAAUAUUUUCGAUUAUUGUAUGUCACUAUAUAUGUCUGCUGUAUAUAUAUCUCUAAGCAAUAUUACAUAAUGAGGUAGUAUAUAUGUAACAAAUCACAUAAUAUAUAUGUAUUAUGGAGUAGUAUAAAUGUAAUUGUUGAGCAAGAAAUUUCAACCAAUGAAAUUACACCACGUCGUCGCACCCAAGUUGUGAUGAUUAUAAUUUGAUUGGAUUUGGGUAGUCAAGUUUUCCAACCCAAUUCAAGCCCCUGAUAAAAAAUCAGGCCAAACAAAGGGGCCUAAGCCCACUAAGAAAAUGGGCCCAAGCCCAAGUCCAAGUCCAAGCUCAACAACUCAACAAGCAAAUGGGUCUAAGCCCACAUAAAGUCCACAAAUUUUCUCUAUAAGUAGAGACCUUUGUCAUUCAUUCGAGAGAUCUUUUGUUGAAGGAAGAAAUGAAGCUCUGAAGUACUGAAGCUUUGAAGAAUUGAAGAUUCAAACUUCUAUAGAGCUCUCAAGACGUGCAAGUUCUUAUCAACUUCGAGAUCAUCAUCUUCUGAAAUAUUAUAUAUACAUAAUAUAUAAAUAAGAAAGAAAAAUUAGUUUAAUAAGGAAACCUUGCAUCUCUUUCGUUUAUGACAACCACAUUUAAAACUUCAUUUUAGAAUGAAUUCUAAUAUUUUUUUUGUUGACCAACUGAACGUUUUACAUUCAAUGGGAUGAUGUCAACUUCAAUUACUGUAUUAUUGAAUAUAUGCAUUAGUAUGUAUGUAACAAAUCAAAUAAAAUACUAAUCGAAUAUAGAAAAAUAUAAAGAAAAUGAUACAAAACGUGAAGGAAAAAAACUGAACUGUAUAUGUGUCACAAAAUACGUGUUAUUAUAUUUAUAUAAAUGUAUAUAUUGAUAACAUCACCUGUCUAUGUAGUGAUAUAUAUUGAAAUUCAACUAUAAAAUUAUGUAGAACUAUGUGUCACUAAAUAUUUAUGUUGUAAAUAAGGUGUAUCUAUAUAUUAAAUCACAUCAUAAACAUAUUAUAAUUUACGAGUAUAUUAUAGUAUAUAUUGUUCAUUUAAAAAAUAUAUGACAAAUAGAAGGUAUAUAAUUAUACGAAGUGAGAAUAUGUAUGUAUGAUGUUCUCACUGCAUAUUAUAUAUACACUAAGAAUGUGUAUUUUACUGUUUUAGUAGUAUUUACUAUAUAAAUAUAUAUUUUAAAUAUUAAUUAUUAAUGAAUAUAUAUGUAACGACCCAACUUUUCUAAGUAAGUCGAGAUCGUUAAUUUUUAACAAAUAAAGACUUUGAUUAAUAUAAAACAAAACGUAAACAAUUAAAAAAAAACAUCUUCAAGUCAGGCCUGAUUUUUAAACAUUCAAGAAAACAUAAAAUAGUACUAUUUACAACAAACGUUUGUAAACUAAAUUUCAAUUCAUUUUAAACCUCACAAGAACCCAUAAGCGGAGCAAAAACACGUUUCCUAAGGCAUCACGCUUCCUUCCUGCCCCUCGCCUGUUUGCCGCCUUUAUUACCUUUGCCUGAAAAUUAAACAUAAGAAGGGUGAGUAUUUUAAAUACUCAGUAAGAGACCCUCUACUGGUCCCGUCAGGAGAAAAUAAAUUAUUAACGAUCUAUUGGGACACCCUGUACAGUCACAUUCUUGUGAUCCCGUAGGUUACACAUCUUAGUCUAACGCCCCGAUGGACGUACAUAUCAGUCUAGUGUUCUGCAGAAACACAUAUCAGUCUAAUGCUCCCGAAGGUGCAAAAUAAAUUGGUGAUCCCGUGGGACACCUACAAGGUACACAUCCCAAUAAAUCUAACAAUUUUCCCCUCAUUCCAUUCAAUCCAUCCUUCAGUUGCUUCAAAACAUAAAAUUUUUUCUCUCAACGUCCUAACAGUCAACUUACUUUACUUUAGUCAUCUGUCCGUCAAUAAUAUACUAAUACGUCAGUCAAUCAACUAUACAGUCAAUACACCCCUCAGUUCACCAGCACACAAUCAUACUUUAGCGUAAUCGUACACCCAAUCUAAACGAGAAUCACAAGUUCAUAUCUACAUCUCAUACCAACACAAUCUACAAUCUUCGUCAUGUCCACAUACACACACUUAUAUAUAUUUUCCAUGACAUUCACGAUAUACAUUCGACAUUAUGUCUACUUCAAUUCACAUGCAUUCAUAUAUAUUUUCAGUCAAACCACAGUAUACAUUCAACACACAUACAGUUCACAAUCACAAUUGAGCCCAAUAGAAAAUCCCUUACCUGAAAGUUAGGGAAGCUCCUUAAUCAACUAACGUCCUCGAAACAAUCCUAAGCAUAACAACAUAAAAUUCAAUUACUUUCACGAUACAUAUCCCACUUAUUUUCCUCAACGUAAGUUUCAACUCACCGAUAUAAUGGCGAACUGAACCUUCAACAAUUCACAAUCUGGUUGUGAAUGUAAGGGAGCCUAACGUUACUCCCAACACCUCAACGCACGACUCGAACUCGCAGCAAAAUCCUAAGUGUGGGUCGGUUAGCGGUCGGCCAAAGGGAACGUGGCGGCUGGGCUUCACAGAUGGAGACCGUCGCGAACAGACCGCGAAUCUGAACGGUUACAGCAAAUCUGAACGGUUACAGCAACUAGUCGGCCGACGUCGAUAGCAGGUGGAGCGGCGGUUGUGAGCGGGGAGCGUGGUCGACGGAGACAGAAUCGGCGAUGGAGACGGCAGAUUGGCGCGCGGGACGACUGCUGCAAGGUUGCUUCGCGAACCGGAGAUGGCGGCCGACGGUUGCAGACGGAGAGGCUGCAGCGGCAGCUGGGUAUAGUAGAAAAGAAAGAGAAACGGAAGAAGAGAAAUUUGGGGUGGCCGGCCGUAGAAAACGAAAAGAAAAGAGGAAGAAAAAAGAAGAAAGAAAAGAGAAAGGAAAAGAGAAGGAAGAAAAGAGAUGGUUGUGGUUGUAGGUUGAACAGGAAGAGAAAGGAAGAAGAUGAAUAGGAAAAGAGAAAAAUAAAAUAAAAUAUUAUAAGUAUAUUUUUUUCUUUCUUUUAUUAUUAUUCUUUUUUCUUUUUUUUCUUAAAAUAGAAUUAUUAAUAAUAAUAAUAUAAUUAUAAUAUAUUAUUAUUACUUUUCUGUUUCCUUUACUUUUCCUCUUCCCAAAACAAACAUUCUCUCUCUUCAUUAAAUACUAUCAAUUCCAACUUUUUAUCCCUUCUUUAAAAUAACAAAAUUUUAGAUUAUUCAAACUAAUUAUAUUAUUUCCAAUAAUAUAAUUUUCUCAUCCUUCCAUAACAUCAAACACAUAUAUCUAUACUCAAAAUCCUAAAAUAAAUUACCAAGAUCAUUCUCUUUUAUUCAUCCAUAACAAUAUAAAAAAAAUCAAUUUUCAUAAUUAAUUAGAUAUUCUUUCAUAAAUAUUCAAUUAAUUAUAAUCUUCACAAAACAAACAAAUCUCUUAAUUUAUCUAAAAUAACACCCAAAUAAUUCCAACUUAAAUUCAAUUCCAUUAAGAUAAAUUAAAUUUAAAAUUACCUUAAAUUUUGGGAUGUUACAAUCUUCCCUCCUUUUAGAAACUUUCAUCCUCGAAAGUACUAAUCCUCAAUAACUCUAUAAUAUCCCUGGGUAAUGAGCUCUCAUAUCAUCUUCUCGUUCUCAUGUCGCUUCUUUAACUCGAUGAUUCUGCCACAAUACUUUUACUAAUGAAAUUCCUCUAUUACGAAGCAUCAUCACUUCUCUAACCAGAAUCUCAACUGGUUGCACCACAUAGCUCAAAUUCUCGUCAAUCUCUAGUGGUUCAUAGUCCACUACAUGAGAUGGAUCUGCCACAUACUUUCUCAACAUCGAAACAUGGAAAACAUUAUGAAUUGCAGAGAGAAAUGGAGAGAGAAAUGGUGGUAAUGCUAAACGAUAUGCCACAACACCAAUUCUCUUUAAAAUCUCAAACGGUCCAACAAAACGAGGAUUUAACUUCCCUUUCUUCUCAAAAUGCAUAACAUCCUUCAUAGUUGCUACCUGCAAGAACACCUUAUCUCCCACAUCAAACUCAAGGUUCUUUCACCUCAGAUCUGCAUAACUUUUUUUUUUUUCUACUUUGCGUUGUUUGCGUACGUACUCUAAUAUUCUGAAUAAACUCAUUAGUAGACUAAACCAACUCAUAACCCAUCAAUCUCUGUUCACCAACCUCAUUCCAACAAACAGAAGUUCUACAACAUUUACCAUACAAAGCUUCAAACGGUGUCAUGCCAAUGGUAACCUGAAAACUGUUAUUAUAAGCAAACUCCAUCAAAUGUAAGUGAGAGUCCCAACUACCUGGAAACUCUAGAACACAAGCUCGUAGCAUAUCCUCUAAAACUUGGUUCAAACGUUCAGUUUGGCCAUCAGUCUGUGGGUGAAAGGUUGUACUAGAAAUCUAACCUCGUUCCCAUGGCAGUCUAAAGUCCCUUCCAAAACUUGGAAGUAAAAAGUGCAUCUCGUUAGAGACAAUAAUACGGGCACUCCAUGUAGUCUCACAAUCUCAAUCAAAUAUAAUUAUGCUCAUUUACUAGUAGUAUAAGUGGAUUUUUUUUUUUUUAAAUGAAAUGUGUCGAUUUCGUAAGCCUAUCGACAAUAACCCAAAUCACUGUGUAACCCUUCAGGGUUUUAGGCAAUUAUAUAAUAAAAUCCAUAGAUACAUUCUCCCACUUCCACUCUAAUAUACUCAAAGGUUGCAACAAACCUGUUGGUUUCUAUCUUGGUGCUUUAACCUGCUAGCACACCAAGCACUUACUAACAAGAUCUUCCAUUUCUCUCUUCAUAUUACGCUAGUAACAAACUCUUUUCAGAUCCGGAUACAUUUUUGUGCUACUUGGAUGCAUGAGAAAUGGGAAACUAUGAGUCUCAACCAAUAACCUUGUCUUAAUUGCAUUUUCUGUUGGCUCACAUAAUUCUCUCUCAAACAUAAGUUCAUCAUCAAAGGAUAUGGAAAACUCCUUAACUUGCCCUACUUCUACUAGGCAAUGCUUCUCAAUCAAAUAAGGAUCAAUGAAUUGAACCACAAGAAUUCUUUGUCUCAAGAUCGGAUGUACUGACAACUGAGCUAACUGUGAGGUGACUUCCCCCACUAAAACUACAAUCUCAGCUCUCUCGUGGUUUUUGUCUAAUGAAACCUGUCUGGUAAUAAGUGCUGUCAAAAUGUGAUACUUUUCUACAAAGAGCACCAACUUCCACAUUCGCCUUACCUAAAUGGUACAAAAUCUCACAAUCAUAGUCAUUUACUAACUGAAACCAUCUUUGCUAUCUCAUACUCAACUUCUUUUGAGUGAAAAAGUAUUUUAUACUCUUUUGGUUAGAAAAUAUCUAUAUCUUUUCAUCAUGAAUAUAUAGUGCCUUCAAAUCAUUAAUGUAAAAACCACAACUGUCAAUUUCAUAUCAUAAGUUGGACAAUUUUCCUCAUGACUCUUCAACUGACGAGGAGUACAAGCAACUACUUUAACUUGUUGAAUCAUAAUACCUUUUAAACUUUCCUAAAAGCAUCACUAUAAAUUACGAAACUUUCUGAACCAUCAUGUACGGUAAGCACGGGAGUUGUACAAGCUUCUGCUUAAGAUCCUGAACACUAUCCUCAUAGGCUUUGUCCCAAACAAACAGAGUCCCUUUUCUUAGUUAACUGAGUCAAAUGAGUAGCUAUACGAGAAAAUUCUUAUACAAACCGUUAGUAAUAACCUGCUGAACCCAAAAAGACUACGAACCUCACUGACUAUGAAAGGUUGAGGCCAACUGGUAACGACUUCAAUCUUUUAUGAGAUCCACAUAAAUGUCAUCUCUAGAUACCACAUGGCUUGGAAAGAUACUUGGCCUCAUCCAAAACUCACAUUUUGAAAACUUUGCAUACAAUUUGUUGACUCGAAGAGCCUCUAAAACCAUGUUAAAUGCUCCUCAUGCGCUGUCUCUAUUUUGGAAUAAAUUAAGAUAUCGUCAAUAGAUACAAUCACGAAAGUGUCUAAGAGAUCGUUAAACACUUUGUUCAUCAAGUCGUAAACAUUGUUUGAGCAUUUGCCAACUCAAAAGACAUCAUAAUGAACUCAUGAUGUCCAUAUCACGAACGAAAAUCUGCCAUAGGAAUGUCACUGUUCUCUAAUCCUCAACAAGUCAUAACUUUAAUGUAAUUCAAUCUUAAAGAACACGGAAUUAUUGCAGUUGAUCAAACAAAUCCUCAUUCAUUGGUAAAAGAUAUUUAUUCUUAACCGACACCUUAUUCAACUUUCUACAAUCAAAACAUAAGUGCAUCGACCCAUCUUUCUUCUUAAUAAACAAAAAUUGGUGCAUCCCAAGAUAACAUACUUCGUCGAAUGUAGUCCUUGUCAAACAUUUCUUUCAAUUGCACCUUCAAAUCUUUCAACUCUGUUGGGGCCAUUUUGUAUGAAGCUUUAGAUAUAGGAACGAGUCUAACUCUAUCUCAAUAGCAAGACCAAUUUCUGUUUAGCGCGGUAAUCUUAGAAACUCUUCUAGAAAAAUAUCAUAAUACUUUUUCACCACUGAUUCAAAUAACAAAGAAACAUCGACUUCUCUGGUGUCUACCACACUAGUCAAAUACAACAAGUACCCUGGUCAAGCAACUUACUAACCUUCAUAGUUGGGAUAACUUUUAGCGAAACGAUAGUUCCAACCUCUUUGUACUUGAAACUAGCCUCUGGAGAAGGAUUAGAAACUACAUUUUUGCUGAACAUUUUAUGUUCACAUGGUUAAACUACAUUCCAAUUUUCAAACUCCAAACUAGUAACUUUUCAUUCACGAGAAACUCAAAAUUGUUUCUUAAAGUCACAUCAAGACAACCAUGCUCAUCUUCCUUGUUUCUUUUCCAAUACCUCCAUUCUAAAACCAUUUAAUGUGUUUCGUAUAAACUUGACCGUGUAUUUAGUCCUCGUUAAAACCACCUACAUAACUUAUUUUUCUUAGAUUUCCAAUCACAAAACAGACAAUUUCGCUAACAACGUCUUACUUUUCUACUACUCGACCACUCCUUUGAACACCUCUACAUGACAACAUUUUUCCUAAAUUUCACCAUUAAAUCUGUCACCAUUAAAUCAUAACAUUCAUGUAAUUCUAGUUUAACUUAGGCAAGGUCAUAUACAUAAACCAUACAUAUAAGCAUAAAGCAUACCUGACGAGAGACGAAGGGUCGCGUUAGCCAUAGGGACACAAAAACAUAGACUUACAUCGUAAGUCAGUCUACAGAACCUAAAACUUAGGCUCUGAUACCAACUGUAACGACCCAACUUUUCUAAGUAAGUCGAGAUCGUUAAUUUUUAACAAAUAAAGACUUUAAUUAAUAUAAAACAAAACGUAAACAAUUAAAAAAAAAACAUCUUCAAGUCAGGCCUGAUUUUUAAACAUUCAAGAAAACAUAAAAUAGUACUAUUUACAACAAACGUUUGUAAACUAAAUUUCAAUUCAUUUUAAACCUCACAAGAACCCAUAAGCGGAAGCAAAAACACGUUUUCUAUGGCAUCACGCUUCCUUCCUGCCCCUCGCCUGUUUGCCGCCUUUAUUACCUUUGCCUGAAAAUUAAACAUAAGAAGGGUGAGUAUUUUAAAUACUCAGUAAGAGACCCUCUACUGGUCCCGUCAGGAGAAAAUAAAUUAUUAACGAUCUAUUGGGACACCCUGUACAGUCACAGUCUUGUGAUCCCGUAGGAUACACAUCUCAGUCUAACGCCCCGAGGGACGUACAUAUCAGUCUAGUGUUCUGCAGAAACACAUAUCAGUCUAAUGCUCCCGAAGGUGCAAAAUAAAUUGGUGAUCCCGUGGGACACCUACAAGGUACACAUCCCAAUAAAUCUAACAAUUUUCCCCUCAUUCCAUUCAAUCCAUCCUUCAGUUGCUUCAAAACAUAAAAUUUUUUCUCUCAACGUCCUAACAGUCAACUUACUUUACUUUAGUCAUCUGUCCGUCAAUAAUAUACUAAUACGUCAGUCAAUCAACUAUACAGUCAAUACACCCCUCAGUUCACCAGCACACAAUCAUACUUUAGCGUAAUCGUACACCCAAUCUAAACGAGAAUCACAAGUUCAUAUCUACAUCUCAUACCAACACAAUCUACAAUCUUCGUCAUGUCCACAUACACACACUUAUAUAUAUUUUCCAUGACAUUCACGAUAUACAUUCGACGUUAUGUCUACUUCAAUUCACAUGCAUUCAUAUAUAUUUUCAGUCAAACCACAGUAUACAUUCAACACACAUACAAUUCACAAUCACAAUUGAGCCCAGUAGAAAAUCCCUUACCUGAAAGUUAGGGAAGCUCCUUAAUCAACUAACGUCCUCGAAACAAUCCUAAGCAUAACAACACAAAAUUCAAUUACUUUCACAAUACAUAUCCCACUUAUUUUCCUCAACGUAAGUUUCAACUCACCGAUAUAAUGGCGAACUGAACCUUCAACAAUUCACAAUCUGGUUGUGAAUGUAAGGGAGCCUAACGUUACUCCCAACACCUCAACGCACGACUCGAACUCGCAGCAAAAUCCUAAGUGUGGGUCGGUUAGCGGUCGGCCAAAGGGAACGUGGCGGCUGGGCUUCACAGAUGGAGACCGUCACGAACAGACCGCGAAUCUGAACGGUUACAGCAACUAGUCGGCCGACGUCGAUAGCAGGUGGAGCGGCGGUUGUGAGCGGGGAGCGUGGUCGACGGAGACAGAAUCGGCGAUGGAGACGGCAGAUUGGCGCGCGGGACGACUGCUGCAAGGUUGCUUCGCGAACCGGAGAUGGCGGCCGACGGUUGCAGACGGAGAGGCUGCAGCGGCAGCUGGGUAUGGUAGAAAAGAAAGAGAAACGGAAGAAGAGAAAUUUGGGGUGGCCGGCCGUAGAAAACAAAAAGAAAAGAGGAAGAAAAAAGAAGAAAGAAAAGAGAAAGGAAAAGAGAAGGAAGAAAAGAGAUGGUUGUGGUCGUAGGUUGAACACGAAGAGAAAGGAAGAAGAUGAAUAGGAAAAGAGAAAAAUAAAAUAAAAUAUUAUAAGUAUAUUUUUUUCUUUCUUUUUCUUUUCUUUUAUUAUUAUUCCUUUUUCUUUUUUUUUCUUAAAAUAGAAUUAUUAUUAAUAAUAAUAUGAUUAUAAUAUAUUAUUAUUACUUUUCUGUUUCCUUUACUUUUCCUCUUCCCAAAACAAACAUUCUAUCUCUUCAUUAAAUACUAUCAAUUCCAACUUUUUAUCCCUUCUUUAAAAUAACAAAAUUUUAUAUUAUUCAAACUAAUUAUAUUAUUUCCAAUAAUAUAAUUUUCUCAUCCUUCCAUAACAUCAAACACAUAUAUCUAUACUCAAAAUCCUAAAAUAAAUUACCAAGAUCAUUCUCUUUUAUUCAUCCAUAACAAUAUAAAAAAAAUCAAUUUUCAUAAUUAAUUAAAUAUUCUUCCAUAAAUAUUCAAUUAAUUAUAAUCUUCACAAAACAAACAAAUCUCUUAAUUUAUCUAAAAUAACACCCAAAUAAUUCCAACUUAAAUUCAAUUCCAUUAAGAUAAAUUAAAUUUAAAAUUACCUUAAAUUUUGAGAUGUUACAAUAUAGUUUACUACAUGUUGUUACAACAUACUUAAGAUAUAAAUGUUUAUAUGACUAACAACAUAAUAUUACUAUAAGAUAAACAAAAAAAUAAAGAACAGAUUGAAUUGAAAAAUAUUUUCGAUUACUGUAUGUCACUAUAUAUGUCUGAUUGUAUAUAUCUCUAAGCAAUAUUACAUAAUGAGGUAGUAUAUAUGUAACAAAUCACAUAAUAUAUAUGUAUUAUGGAGUAGUAUAAAUGUAAUUGUUGAGCAACAAAUUUCAACCAAUGAAAUUACACCACGUCGUCGCACCCAAGUUGUGAUGAUUAUAAUUUGAUUGGAUUUGGGUAGUCAAGUUUUCCAACCCAAUUCAAGCCCCUGAUAAAAAAUCAGGCCAAACAAAGGGGCCUAAGCCCACUAAGAAAAUGGGCCCAAGCCCAAGUCCAAGCUCAACAACACAACAAGCAAAUGGGUCCAAGCCCACAUAAAGUCAACAAAUUUUCUCUAUAAGUAGAGACCUUUGUCAUUCAUUCGAGAGAUCUUUUGUUGAAGGAAGAAAUGAAGAUCUGAAGUACUGAAGCUUUGAAGAAUUGAAGAUUCAAACUUCUAUAGAGCUCUCAAGACGUGCAAGUUCUUAUCAACUUCGAGAUCAUCAUCUUCUGAAAUAUUGAAGACUUGGAAGAUCAAAAUUUCCUUAAAUUCCAGAAGACUGAAGCUGAAAUAGACCGAACCAUUUAAAUUCGGUUUGGACUAUUUGAGACAGCAACAAACUGUGUUUUUUGUUUUGUACAUAAAUGGUGUGGUUUGAUUCGGUUUUAACAAGCGGUUCAAUUUACACCGUUUAGACUUGAUCUUAUAUAAUGUGAAAUUAUUUUUUUUCUUUGAAUUUUUAUCUAAGUGUACUCAAAUUGUAUACCAUGUUACAAAAUUAAUUGCAAUAAAUUUUUUAAAAUUUUCAAAAAUAUCAUAAAUUGACUAAUAUUUUAUACAAAUAUAGAGUAAAAAUGACCAAUUUACUCUUUUUAUUAUUAAUAAUAUAUUAAAAAUAAAAAAAAAAAGUGAACCACGUUUAAGAUUUUCAUUUAUUAAAUAUUCUAUUAAAAUAUGGAUUAAAUUCUAUUAAAGUAAUAUUAAUAAUAAAAAUUGUCCUUAGUUUGCUUUUUAUGAUUUUAUUAAAAAAUUGUCCUUUUUUAUUUUGCAUUCUUUUUCAUAUAUUUUAUAUAAUUAUAGUAUAUAUUGAAUAAUAUAAUGUAUAUUUUAUUAGUGAAAUGUUCUUAUAUCAAUUUAUUUAUUUAUUUUAUUUCAAAUGACAUUAUAUCCUUUUUUAUUUUGCAUUCUUUUUCAUAUAUUUUAUAAAACACGUUUCCUAUGGCAUCACGCUUCCUUCCUGCCCCUCGCCUGUUUGCCGCCUUUAUUACCUUUGCAUGAAAAUUAAACAUAAGAAGGGUGAGUAUUUUAAAUACUCAGUAAGAGACCCUCUACUGGUCUCGUCAGGGGAAAAUAAAUUGUUAAAGUUCUAUUGGGACACCCUGUACAGUCGCAGUCUUGUGAUCCCGUAGGAUACACAUAUCAGUCUAACGCCCCGAGGGACGUACAUAUCAGUCUAGUGUUCUGCAGAAACACAUAUCAGUCAAAUGCUCCCGAAGGUGCACAAUAAAUUGGUGAUAUAGAUAUACACACCUAAUCUAAACGAGAAUCUCAUACAAACACAAUCUACAAUCUCCGUCCUGUCCACAUACACACAUUUAUAUAUAGAUUCCAUGACAAUCACGACAUACAUUCGACGUCAAGUCUACUUCAAUUCAUAUACAUUCAUAUAUAUUUUCAGUCAACCCCAGUAUACAUUUAACACACAUACAGCUCACAAUCACAGUUCACAAUCACAAUUGAGUCCAGUAGAAAAUCCCUUACCUGGAUCUUUAUAUAAAAUUCCUUAGUCGAACUAACUUCAACAAACAAACCCCAAGAGUAAAGAAUCGAACUCCAACAAAGCUUAAGGCGUAACUCAAGGACACUAACUCCAAAUCACCGAUGUCGCCUUCAAGAACAAAGAUCAAUUCAACCAAUUAAACAACAUCACAUCUUAAUGUAUUUACAAAUGUAAGACCUUAUUACCGAACAAUCUCAUCCUUACCAAUAUCUUGUAACAAGACUUUGACAAUCGACGUUAAAUAGAAGUUGCCGCAGGAUCUACACAAAAGACAUCGUGCAAAACACUUUUGCACGCGAACUGGUCCGCGAUUCGUAAAUGGGACAGCGGGUAUCGACGAAGGCAGAACGGUUCGGACGUUCAACAGCAGUUACGCGUGGACGGGAGUAGCCCGGCAACGUAGCCGAAUUCGUGCGAUGCGGCGUGACCUGCGUCGGCGAGGCUGUUCGUGACUGAGGCGUGCGACUUGCCUCGCGGACGGAGAUAGAGACGGCGGAGACGGUUGCAGAACCGUGGCUUCGACAGAGACAGAACCGGCUGAGACGGCUGGGCAGCGGCGGAAGAGCAACGGCGCCGCAUAUCUGGACUGGCAGCAGCGCGGUCUUGCUUCGCGGCGGGGCUGCGGACGGAAGAAGAAAAUGGAAGGAAAGGACCGGAGAUUGGCUGCGGCAGGACGGGAAGAAGAAGAUAGAGGUGGUGGUUGCGGCGGAAAGAAAAACGGAAGGGAAGGGAGGCGACGGUUUGCGAACGGGAGAGAAGGGGGAAGGGAUCGGCGCACACGCAGAAGAAGAAGGAAGAAAAGAAAAGAAAAAGAAAAAGAAGAAAAGUAAAAAUAAUAAAGAAAUUUUUUAAUAUUAAAAUAAUAUAUAUAAAAAUAAAAAAAAUAUAUAUAUAUAUAUAUAUUUACCUUUUCUUUGGGCAUUACAUUCUUCCCUCCUUAAGAAACUUUCGUCCUCGAAAGUUCUAAUCCUGAAAUAACUCUGGAUAACGAGUCCUCAUCUCUUCUUCUCGCUCCCAUGUCGCCUCUUCAAUUCGAUGAUUCUGCCACAAAACCUUUACUAAUGGAAUGCUUCUAUUACGAAGCAUCUUUACCUCUCUAGCCAGAAUCUCCACAGGUUGUUAUACAUAGCUCAAAUGCUCAUCAAUCUCCAAGGGUUCAUAGUCCACUACAUGAGAUGUAUCGGCCACAUACUUCCUCAACAUCGAAACAUGGAAAACAUUAUGAACUGCAGAGAGAGAUGGUGGUAAUGCCAAGCGAUACGCCACAACACCAACCCUCUCUAAGAUCUCAAAUGGUCCAACAAAACGAGGACUUAACUUUCCUUUCUUCUCAAAACGCAUAACACCCUUCAUAGGUGCUACCUUCAAGAAUACCUUUUCUCCCACAUCGAACUUAAGGUCUUUUCGCCGUACAUCCGCAUAACUCUUUUGUCUACUCUGCGCUGUUUGCAUACGUGCUCUAAUCUUUUAAAUAGCCUCAUUAGUAGACCGAACUAAUUCAGGUCCCAUCAAUCUAUGUUCACCAACCUCACUCCAACAAACAGGGGUUCUACAACAUUUGCCAUACAAAGCCUCAAAUGGUGCCAUACCGAUGGUAGCCUAGAAACUGUUGUUAUAAGCAAACUCCAUCAAAUGUAGAUGAGAGUCACAACUACCUGGAAACUCUAUAACACAAGCUCGUAGCAUAUCCUCUAAAACUUGGUUCAAACGUUCAGUUUGACCAUCAGUCUGUGGAUGAAAGGCUGUACUAAAAUCCAAUCUCGUACCCACAGCAGUCUGAAGUCCCUUCCAAAACUUGGAAGUAAACCGUGCAUCCCUAUCAGAAACAAUCGAUACAGGCACUCCAUGCAGUCUCACAAUCUCAGUUAAAUACAGCUCUGCCCACUUAUUAGCAGUAUAAGUGGAUUUUCCUGGUACAAAAUGUGCCGAUUUCGUAAGCCUGUCUAUGACAACCAGAAUCACUGUGAAACCCUUCAGGGUCUUAGGCAGCCCUGAAAUAAAAUCCAUCGACACAUUCUCCCACUUCCACUCUGGCACACUUAAGGGUUGUAACAAACCUGCUGGUUUCUGUCUAGGUGCCUUAACUUGCUGACAUACUAGACACUUACUAACAAAUUCCGCCACUUCCCUUUUCAUAUUCCGCCACCAGUAAAAUUGUUUUAAAUCCUGAUACAUUUUCGUGCUACCAGGAUGCAUUGAAAAUGGGGAAUUAUGGGCUUCAUCUAGUAAGUCAAUCUUAACUGUACUGUUCGCUGGCACACACAAACGUCUUUCAAACAUCAACCCACCAUCAGAGGAUAUGGAGAACUCAUCAGUCUGCCCUGUUUCAACAAGGCGACGUCUCUCCAUCAAAUAAGGAUCACUACUUUGAGCAUCAACAAUCUUCUGCCUCAGAGUCGGUUGCACCGUUAAUUGAGCCAGCUGUGAGGUGACUCUUCCCACAGACACUGCAAUCUCAACUCUCUCCAAGUCUCGAUGCAAUGGUACCUGUCUAGUAAUGAGUGCUGCCGAAUGUGAUACUUUUCUACUAAGAGCAUCAGCCACCACAUUCGCCUUACCAGGAUGGUACAAUAUCUCGCAGUCAUAAUCUUUUACCAACUCGAGCCACCUUCGUUGUCUCAUAUUCAACUCCUUCUGAGUGAAGAAGUACUUUAGGCUCUUAUGGUCAGUAAAGAUUUGUAUCUUUUCACCGUACAAGUAAUGUCUCCAUAUCUUCAAUGCAAAAACCACUGCUGCCAACUCCAAAUCAUGUGUGGGGUAGUUCUGCUCGUGACUCUUCAACUGACAAGAGGCAUAAGCAACCACCUUACCUUUCUGCAUCAAAACACAACCCAGUCCUUUCUUGGAAGCAUCACUAUAAAUCACAAAACUUCCAGAUCCAUCGGUACAGUAAGGACCGGUGCAGUAACUAACCUUUGCUUUAAGUUCUGAAAACUAUCCUCACAAGCUGGACUCCAAACAAACGGAGUUCCCUUCCUUGUCAACUGAGUCAAAGGAGUAGCCAAACGUGAAAAAUCCUCCACAAACCUCCGGUAGUACCCUGCUAAACCCAGAAAACUACGAACCUCACUAACUGUAGAGGGUCGAGACCAACUGGUAACCGCUUCUAUCUUUGCAGGGUCUACUGAAACUCCCUCACUGGAAACCACAUGACCAAGAAAAGCCACCUGCUUCAACCAAAAUUCGCACUUAGAGAACUUAGCAUACAGUUUAUUGACUCGAAGAGUCUCUAACACCUUAUGUAAGUGUUCCUCAUGUUCGGCUUCAGUCUUGGAAUAAACCAAAAUAUCAUCAAUGAAGACUAUCACAAAAGUGUCCAAGAAAUCCUUAAACACCCUGUUCAUCAAAUCCAUAAAUACAGCAGGUGCAUUAGUCAAACCAAAAGACAUUACUAUGAAUUCAUAAUGUCCAUACCUCGAACGAAAAGCAGUCUUAGGAAUAUCACGGUCUCUAAUCCUCAACUGGUGAUAAUCUGACCGUAAGUCAAUCUUAGAGAACACCGUGGCUCCCUGUAACUGAUCGAACAAAUCAUCGAUUCUGGGUAAAGGAUAUCUGUUCUUGACUGUUACUUUAUUCAACUCUCUAUAGUCAAUGCAAAGACGCAUCGACCCAUCCUUCUUCUUCACAAACAAUACUGGUGCACCCCAAGGUGACACACUAGGUCGAAUAAAGCCUUUGUCAAGCAAUUCCUGUAACUGUACCUUCAGUUCUUUCAACUCAGCAGGAGCCAUCCUAUAAGGGGCUCUAGAAAUAGGAGUAGUGUUUGGCUCCAACUCAAUGGCAAAAUCAACCUCUCUAUGUGGCGGUAGUCCUGGAAGAUCUUUUGGAAAUACAUCUGGGUAGUCUCUUACCACAGGUUCUGAAGUUAAAGAAGUCUCACCUUCCCUAGUAUCCACCACACUUGCCAAAAUACUCCAAGUACCCUGGUUGAGUAGUUUACUAGCUUUCAUAGCUGAGAUUACUUUAGGCAGUACUACUGUUCCUACCCCCUUGAAUUUAAAGCUAGAUGCAGUAGGGGGACUGAACACAACUUCCUUACGAGAACAAUCAAUACUAGCAUGAUUAGUAGCUAGCCAAUCCAUACCUAAAAUUACAUCAAAGUCACGCAUAUCUAAUACCAACAAGGUUACGUCCAGCACACGACCAGCUAUCUCAAUUUCACAUGCUUUAAUCUUUUCCUUAGACAACAUAAUUUCUCCAGACGGUGUAGACACUGACAAAACAUAGUCUAAGGGUUCCACCUCUAAGCAUGCAUGCGUCACAAAAAGCGAUGAAAUAAAUGAAUGAGAAGAUCCCGAGUCAAACAAGGUCAAGGCAAAAUGCCCUAACACUGGUAAUGUACCUGUCACUACUGUGCCGGCCUUCUCUGCCUCUGAUCUAUUAGUGGCAAAGAUUGUACCCCGCUGUGGAGGUCUCUCUCCCUGACUGCUCGAUCCAGCCCCAGUAGAUCUCAAGGGACACCUAUCAGCCAUGUGUCCCUCUUGCUUGCACUUAUAACAGACUCUCGUUCCCAUCAAACAACGACCCAGGUGGCGUUUCCCACACGUAUUACAUACUGGCCUCUCUCGAGUAGUGUCUCCUGCACCGCCAGAACUCUGCUGGAAACUGCGAAAAGGAUCGCCUGGUCUCAAGUUCCUCUGAGGAACUCCUACAGUUCUCUGCUCUACUUUUCUCUUUUGACCCGACGACGAUCCCUUAUCAAAGCUCCUUGGCUGUAUUUCAUCCUUCCCAAUGCUCAUAUCCACUGCCAGACGCAGUGCUUCAGCUUGGGUAGUGGGCUUUAGUGCUCGCACAAAGCCCCUAAUUUCAUCUCUCAAUCCCUUGACGAACCUAUCAGCUCUAGCCUGCUCAUUACUAACAAGCUCAGGGGCAAAACGUGACAGCAUAUCAAACUCCUGGUCGUACUCCUCGACUGUCAUAUAUCCUUGCUUCAACUCCAAGAAUUCCUGGCUUUUGGCGUCUCUAAGGUUAGCCGAGAAAAACUUGGUAUAGAAGCAGUCCUUAAACUGAUCCCAGGUAAUUUGCCUCACAUCUCCACCUAGCAUGCGCAUUGUAGUCCUCCACCAGAUAAUGCCUCUGUCCCUCAGUAGAAAAGCAGCACACUGAACUCUGUGCUCCUCGGGACAUCUCAUGUAAUUAAAUAUGGUUUCCACAGAGGACAACCACAUUUCAGCUUUAGUAGGAUCCUCCAGUGACCCAUCAAACGUCUGAGGGUCAUACUUCCGAAAGUCCCUCAAAUGUUUCGCCUCAGCAGAAAGUUGGUUCGGUAAUCCUUGUGCAGGAGGGGCUGCUGGUGCAGGGGGAACUACAGGUGCAGGUGGAACCGCAGGUGCCUGCUGGUUUUGAGCUAUAGCUGUCAUAAGUUCUGUAAACCUCUGCUCCAUGUGAGCAGACAGUGCAUCAAACUCAACGUGAGUCACGGGUGCAGCAGGAAUUCGCUGUUCAGCUUGACCCUCAGUAGGCUGAUUACGACCUGCUCCUCUACCUCGGCCUCCUACUCCUCUCUACCUCGGCCUCUACGACCUCCUCUACGUACACCUUCCCUUGGCGGCAUAAUUCCUAUUAUCCACCAACAACACUCUUUAACAAAAUCUUAAUCAUAAGCAUAAGCAAGUCUUUAUCGUCAUGCAAUCUAGUUUAAUUUAGGCAAGGUCAUGCAAAUAAACCAUACAUAUAAGCAUCAAGCAUACCUGACGAGAGACGAAGGGUCGCGUUAGCCAAAGGAACACAAAAACAUAGACUUACAUCGUAAGUCAGUCUACAGAACCUAAAACUUAGGCUCUGAUACCAACUGUAACGACCCAACUUUUCUAAGUAAGUCGAGAUCGUUAAUUUUUAACAAAUAAAGACUUUGAUUAAUAUAAAACAAAACGUAAGCAAUUUAAAAAAAAAAACAUCUUCAAGUCAGGCCUGAUUUUUAAACAUUCAAGAAAACAUAAAAUAGUACUAUUUACAACAAACGUUUGUAAACUAAAUUUCAAUUCAUUUUAAACCUCACAAGAACCCAUAAGCGGAAGCAAAAAAACACGUUUCCUAUGGCAUCACGCUUCCUUCCUGCCCCUCGCCUGUUUGCCGCCUUUAUUACCUUUGCCUGAAAAUUAAACAUAAGAAGGGUGAGUAUUUUAAAUACUCAGUAAGAGACCCUCUACUGGUCUCGUCAGGGGAAAAUAAAUUGUUAAAGUUCUAUUGGGACACCCUGUACAGUCGCAGUCUUGUGAUCCCGUAGGAUACACAUAUCAGUCUAACGCCCCGAGGGACGUACAUAUCAGUCUAACGCCCCGAGGGACGUACAUAUCAGUCUAGUGUUCUGCAGAAACACAUAUCAGUCAAAUGCUCCCGAAGGUGCACAAUAAAUUGGUGAUCCCGUGGGACACCUACAAGGUAAACAUCCCAAUACAAUCUAACAAUUUAUCCCCUCAUUCCAUUCAACCCAUCUUUCAGUUACUUCAAGUCACAAAGUUCUUUCUUUCAACAUCCUAACAGUCAACUUAUUUUACUACAGUCAUAUGUCUGUCAAUAAUAUGCUAAUACAUCAGUCAAUCCACUAUACAGUCAAUGCACCCCUCAGUUCACCAGCACACAGUCAUACUUUAGCGUAAUCAUACACCCAAUCUAAACGAGAAUCUCAUACAAACACAAUCUACAAUCUCCGUCCUGUCCACAUACACACAUUUAUAUAUAGAUUCCAUGACAAUCACGACAUACAUUCGACGUCAAGUCUACUUCAAUUCAUAUACAUUCAUAUAUAUUUUCAGUCAACCCCAGUAUACAUUCAACACACAUACAGCUCACAAUCACAGUUCACAAUCACAAUUGAGUCCAGUAGAAAAUCCCUUACCUGGAUCUUUAUGUAAAAUUCCUUAGUCGAACUAACUUCAACAAACAAACCCCAAGAGUAAAGAAUCGAACUCCAACAAAGCUUAAGGCGUAACUCAAGGACACUAACUCCAAAUCACCGAUGUCGCCUUCAAGAACAAAGAUCAAUUCAACCAAUUAAACAACAUCACAUCUUAAUGUAUUUACAAAUGUAAGACCUUAUUACCGAACAAUCUCAUCCUUACCAAUAUCUUGUAACAAGACUUUGACAAUCGACGUUAAAUAGAAGUUGCCGCAGGAUCUACACAAAAGACAUUGUGCAAAACACUUUUGCACGCGAACUGGUCCGCGAUUCGUAAAUGGGACAGCGGGUAUCGACGAAGGCAGAACGGUUCGGACGUUCAACAGCAGUUACGUGCGGACGGGAGUAGCCCGGCAACGUAGCCGAAUUCGUGCGAUGCGGCGUGACCUGCGUCGGCGAGGCUGUUCGUGACUGAGGCGUGCGACUUGCCUCGCGGACGGAGAUAGAGACAGCGGAGACGAUUGCAGAACCGUGGCUUCGACAGAGACAGAACCGGCUGAGACGGCUGGGCAGCGGCGGAAGAGCAAUGGCGCCGCAGAUAUGGACUGGCAGCGGCGCGGUCUUGCUUCGCGGCGGGGCUGCGGACGGAAGAAGAAAAUGGAAGGAAAGGACCGGCGGCUGGCUGCGGCUGGCUGCGGUUGGCUGCGGCGGGACGGGAAGAAGAAGAUAGAGGUGGUGGUUGCGGCGG